RNAcentral lists this long non-coding RNA (45390 nucleotides) under Fragaria vesca (wild strawberry). RNAcentral describes it as "long non-coding RNA (FVES_LNC000569)". Lineage: Eukaryota; Viridiplantae; Streptophyta; Magnoliopsida; Rosales; Rosaceae. The record is from RNAcentral.
UUGUAGAGGAAGCCUCUCUCAGCGCUGAGGUCAAGGUGCCUGAGAAUAGGCAACUUAAAACUGUUGAGCGUGCUGACGCGACCGGCUUGGGGACUGAAGACAUCGGCGCGUGACGGCCUGCCAAUAUUCUCUUUGAUCCUGAAGUUGCAGAAUGUCUCCUCAAAACCAUUCUGUCCUUGUUGCCCCUGUUGUCUCUGAAUUCCCUGUUCUCGUCUUUCCUCCUGUUGUGACUCUGGUGGCUGGAUGAAAUCGAGACGUCCUCUAACUCUCACGAUUUGGGGUCUGUUGUCUUUCUGUCCCUGAAGCUGCUGGGCAGUCUGUUGGUCAAUGUUCAAAGCAUCAGCGAGGAGCUGUGUGUUGAAGCCUGCAAAGAUGUUGUUGUUUCCUUGUCGUUGUUGUUGCUGGUGCCUGCUCCUUCCUCCUUGCUGUUGCUGGUGCCUGCUCUUUUCUCCUUGCUGUUGCUGGUCCUGGUCCCAUUGACUUUGGCCUUCCGCUUGUUGUCCACGUCCUUGCCGUCCUCGUUGCCUUUGGCUUUGCCCGUGUUGGUUAAACUCAUCUUGUGGAUUACCCGCUAGAUAGAAUCUCUAUACACAUAACAAUAGUACAAUACAUGUAUGUGAUCUGCAGUCAGCAAUGAUAACAAGUAAUCUACCAAUAAAUAUGCAAAUAUAUUUGGGGGUGUAAAUGGACAGUGUGCUCAUUAGUAGAUAUUUAAUUUACCCUAGGGUUACGAUCAAGCUGGUUUUGGUUGUUGCCGAUGUCAAGAAGACUGACAGCAACAAGAGGUUGAUCACCGUCAUUGUAGGACCAGUAGGUGACUCCGGCAGGAAUAGCAACAACGUCACCUUCUCUGAUGCGUCGAACCUUCUGGUGUCUGUCUAGCUGUUCGAAGCUUUCUUGUCCCUGUUGGCCUUGCUGGCCUUGUUGUCUAUGACGGCCAUGCUGUCCACGGUCUUGCUGCUCUUGUUGUUCACGGCCUUGCUGUCCAUGACGCCCUUGCCAUUGUUGUUGACCCUGUUGUUCUUCAUCAGAUUGUUCUGAUUCUUCAAAAGACUCAGGACAGCCAGGGAAUACAGUAGAUAGAAAACCAUUUCCUGCCGUAAUUAUAUGAAUAUAUUACACACCAUAUACAGAUACAUAUUAAUACAUAUCCAACAUUUAUAAUAUUAGAUAGAAAUGGUUCCGGUUACACAGUACCUUGGACAAUAUAUAUGAGCUGUGGUGCGUGGGUGUAAGAAGGCAAGUGAAGGCCAUUUCUUUCAACAGUGAUUCGUUGAACAGCAACACCAGCACACCGGAAGUCGUCCUGGUUGUAGUUCCAGGACUCGAUCCUACCCGCUUCAGUCUCAAUGCGGUUAUCAGGUUCGCGGGCUUGGAUCUGAUCAAGUUGGCACUCAUUCUGCUGGCUCGACUGAGAUUGUUGGCGCGCUGCUAAGCAGCUGUGGAAGAGGACAAGCAAGCAAAGAGAAAAGGCGAGAGCUAUAGGCUUAGCCAUAGUGUUGAUCAGAUAAGUAUAUAGCUUGUCGUGGUGAAGCGGCGAGUAGAAGGUGUGGUAUUUAUACUUUUAUAGGAUAGAGAAGCUGAAGAGGGAAGGAUAAGUACAACAACGUACAUCUGUAAAUAGUCUGAAGCCAUUCUUAUCUUUGCAUGGCAAAAGCAUUUCACAUUCUUACACCUCAUUUCUCCCAGGGCAGGUGGCUCAUGGCUUCAGAGAAGAUACAAAGUGCCUAACAAGGUGGGGUUUUGCCAUGAUUGUCUGCAAGUGAAGCGAAAUUCUACUGCCUUGAACCUGGUCCAAUAAAGAGCAAAAUUUAUGAGAGGACUAAGAUAUGUUCUUACCAGUUUUAGUAAAAUAGUAUUACAUCAGCACCAACCUGAUGAACAUCUUCUAUAAUGUAGGCAAGGUUCAAAAAUGGCUGUUCUUAUCUUCCUAGUAGCCAUCCAUACUCUGUCAUUUUAUGAGUCAAAGUUUAAUAUUUAAAACUUAUGUAGACAUUCCAACAAUAAAACUUAAAAGUUCUUAACUCUAGUUGGUAAUACUUUGACACGUCAAACUUCUUUGAUUUCUUCCAGAAGCAUAAGCAUCUGGUUCUCACGUUGCUAAUCACUUCACCUAUCUAGUUUUCCUACCAAAAAGAAUCUGAUAUAGAUAGAAAAGUUAGCCAUAAAUGUAGGACUUACUGUGAACAAUGUCCCAAUUCCAACCUCAAAGAUUAGAAUCUAAAAGCUCGUAACUCAAAAUUAUACAACAUCAUUAUAUUCACAAUAAAAAGUACUCUGACAUAAGGUUUAGUUCAGUUUAGUGCUUCUUGAAAAAAAAGAUGAAGACUUCAACUGUUCUACAACAUAAUUGUCUAUAUCUAUACUCAAAAUGAUCAAUAAUCGUUUAUCCUACCAUAUUUCUUGUAUGGAAUAUCUUGUUACAUUUUGUUUUCAUAGCAAAAUGUUGCAAUAUUUGAGUGAUAGAUACACUGCCAACAUGGUGUACAAGUUCCACAGCCAAGAUUUUUGGGCUCACGACAACUCUUAAGGCUUAAGAACCAGUAAUGCAUGGUUGAACUAGGGAGCAGCCAUUGCUGAAGGCUCCUCCUCAAAACGAUCCAUUGCUUUAUUACCCCAUGGUUGGAAAACCUGCCAACAGUCAAAAUUUCCUCUUCCCCCGCAGUCGAUAUUUUCUCAUCUCAAUAAAUUUUAUUCAUCCAAAACAUAAAUCCUUUUGUUUAAGUACCCGCCAGUAUAUCUAAUAUCUGUGACAAGCCGAGUGCUGACAGCUGAUAUUUUAAAACUUGGGAUUCCCUAUAGCCCCUCUCAUUAUAACCCCUCUAAUGUUAAAGCUUCUGCUAAAGACACAUCUCUAGUUCCUCGAGCUAAUGCUACAUCCGCAAUGCAAUUGUUCCCAUGCAAUGAUUAGCCAGAGGAAAACUCGAGGAGCUCCCUUGACUCUGAUCAAUUUAGCCUCAAGUCUCGAACUUGUUCUUUGAAAGUCAGUGAAGAGGCUACUUCUUUAACUGGUGAUGGUGCUCAACCAAUGUUAAGCCAGACAGAGGAUAGUUAAGUGAAUCUGGUCGGGAAGACCUAAAAAGAGCAAAACUUCUUGCUUUCCCUUGCUACACAACGAGUACUACUAAAAGGUCGAUUCCAACAAAAGAGCUCAGGAUGUUGUUAUUAAUGGGGUUGGGACUUGAGUUCUCGGGUGGGAAUGUGAAGGUGCAGCAGUUGCUUUGCAACUCUACUUUACUGUCCUUGUCCAAGCUGAUAAGGGUGGGACGACAUUGAACGGCCUUAUUUACAGGUCCUCUAUAUAUUGGAAUACUUGACUGUCUCAGAAAGGACUUGCCAAGUGAUUCCCUAAUUCUAAUGCUCAGACCUCGGCCUAUUUGAAAUGUCUGAUAGAAACUAGUUUGAGGAAUAAUUAGCUUCUUUACCUGUGAGUACAUGUUUCUAUGGAAGGUUUCUGUAAUGCUAGCUUUCCUUCUGCUAUAAGGAAGGUGACCAAGCUUUUAAUCCUAACACCAAAGUUAAACCUUUUCCAAAGAAAGGGGGUCAAAACCUGUAGAAUAUUAUGUAACAGGUUGAACCUAACACAUAAAGUUCAGCAAUCAUCCAUGAUCCAUCUUCUAUCAUAUUUUUACUGAACCAAAGAUUAAGUAAUCAACACUGGCAGUUGUUUAUGUAAGUUAUUCUGAUAAAGAAAAAAGAUCCAUCACUACCCUUAAACUUAUUGUGCCACAAAACACAAAUGACUUCAAUUGUUCCUAUCGCAUAGAAACCAAACUUUUGUCAUUGUUUCUUGGAAUUAUUCUGUACACAUCACUUCUGUGCAAUCAUGCACAAAAUAGAAUCAAAAUACCAUGACAAUGACAAAGGGUUUAAUUCAAUUUGGCACUUCUUACCAACACUAUGCUCCUCCAAAUGGUCCUCAUAGUCAAAGGGACUUCCCCAUAUCCCUUGUUCCAAAAUUAGCUUCUUUACCCAGAAUCAAUCAUCCUACUACGCUCAAAAUAUCUAAUUUCUCAAUACUCUACUGAUUCAAUUGAGUUGAAGACAAAGUAGACAACAAUUAACAGAUCAAAUGUGAAAGUACAUAAUUCAAUAGACUCACGAUUGCUGAGUUGCAGGUCACUGGUUGUGGUGUGUCUGAUCAGCAGGAGCUACGUUUCAAGCACGCCCUCGUGAAGCAAUCUCGUCCCCGACGCGACCUCUGGUAGUCGGAAUAUGCGGCCGGAUAACAUGAUCCGGCGAUCCCGUCUUUCACAUUGUGUUUGGUUGGACAUUGGCGGUUCCAGCAGUUCAGUUACUAUUGGUCUUCACCCUCUCAGCGCUCAACCUCUUCUAGUCUCUCCUUUUAUUCUUGUACUUGUCAGUUGUCACAGUUGCUAUCUAUGUGAUUGUUCCACGUGGAUUUUAUUUUCCUGCAAAUUCCCAAAUUAAUUAUUAUUUUGUCCAAAAUUUCCAGAUGAAUUGUUUGUUGUCUUUGAUGUUUUUUUUUCUUUUGUAAAAAGAUCGUAUGACCCCUUAUAUGGAUAUUUUCAGGAGACUUCUUGCCGCCUUCACGCUGUUCACGUUCCACAUACAUAUAUACAUGCAGCUCAACAUGCUUUUUCACCAACUUCACUGAGUUCUUUGAUGAUUCUAAUCAUUCGAUGGAAUCACAAAAUAGUUAGUUUAUACAACAGAGUUCGUGAGCUGCUUAUUUUAUAGUUUAAUUUUGGCGUGACGUCAUUAGUUAAAGCUCGACGAAGCAUGCUGUUUUUCUUUUCUAUCAAGAGCGUGAUUAGCUGGUUUGGAAAUUUCAUUUCUAUUUUUCUCGUUCUUAUUGAGAGUCAAACUUUGAAGAAAUGAUAGUCAAACUUCGAAGAAAUGAUUGGAGUCAAACCUGAUGAUUACAGACAAGGGGUGAGCUGCUGAUAUGCAAUUACAGCCAAAGCAAAUUACUGACUUAAAUCUAAGGGGCAAAGCUUCACAAUUUAGAUAAAACACCAACUCACCAAGUAUAGUUGAGGCAAAAAGAAAAUUCAUUUAACGAGAAUAUGACUACAAGAACGUAGUAGCUCGUUAUUUACUAGUUUGUACAUAAGAUCUCAUAUCUUCCGAAGAUGCCAUAUAAAGGCCAUUUUUAUUCACUCUACCCUUUAGCUCGCUGGUACCAUAUUCACUAGCUUAUUCACCGCACAAAAAACACUACGUGCGCAUUACAUACAUAUUCAUACUCAGACAAACAUCUCAGCAAUAUCCAACCAGUUCCUGUGGGAUCGAGGAGACCUUGAUGAGCUCAAAGCAACAGUCUCCUGCCUGUUGUACUUGAGAGUCCUUGCCUGUUGUCGAUCAAUCUGGUAUGCGUUAGCGAGGACCACGUCAGGGAGUGCCCGCAAGACUGAGGUCCGGCCAGCAAGAGUGUUAAUCUUAGCAUUGUCUUGGGUCUUGAAAGCAAUGUAUUCGAAUCCAUUGUUGCUAGCCUUAUGCAACACUGCAUGGUUCUGUGGCACAAUGAAGAGCUGGCCCUGGCGGACCUCGUUGUCCAAGAUGGCCUGGCCGUUGUUGUUCACAACCUGAACCCUAGCACUACCUCUAAUGACGUAGUAGACUUCAUGGGCGUUCAAGUUCCAGUGAGGACUGUAGAUAGCAUUCUGCAAGUACCACAAACAAGAUUAGUAAUCAUAAUCAAUAACCUCAAUUGAUUCAAAAGGACCUAUAUCGUUGAUUAUAUAUACUUACGUUAUAGAAGAAGCCUCUCUCAGCGCUGAGGUCAAGGUGCCUGAGAAUAGGCAACUUAAAGCUGUUGAGGGUGCUGAUGCGACCGGCUUGGGGACUGAAGACGUCAGCGCGUGAAGGCCUGCCGAUAUUCUCUUUGAUCCUGAAGUUGCAGAAUGUCUCCUCAAAACCAUUCCGUCCUUGUCCCUGUUGUCUCUGAAUUCCCUGUUGUUGUCUUUCCUCCUGUUCUGACUCUGCUGGCUGAACAAAGUCGAGACGUCCUUUAACUCUCACGAUUUGGGGUCUGUUGUCGUUCUGUCCCUGAAGCUGCUGGGCAGUCUGUUGAUCAAUGUUCAGAGCGUCAGCGAGGAGCUGUGUGUUGAAGCCGGCGAAGAUGUUCUUGUUGUUUCCUUCUUGUUGCUGGUGCCUGCUCCUUCCUCCUUGCUGUUGCUGGUGCCUGCUCCUCUCUCGUUGCUGUUGCUGGUCCUGGUCCCAUUGACUUUGUCCUUGCUGGCCCCGACGACUCUGGCUUUGCCCGUGUUGGUUAAACUCAUCUUGUGGAUUACCAGCCAGAUAGAAUCUCUACAUACAUAACACAUCAUGCAUGUGAUCAGAAAAAACUAGCAAGCCAACAGUAAGAGUGCUAUUGUACCUCCACAAAAGAAAAUAUAUACAUAUCACAUUUGCUAAUUAAUUUACCCUGGGGUUACGGUCAAGCUGGUUUUGUUGGUUGCCGAUAUCAAGAAGAUUGACAGCAACAAGAGGUUGGUCACCGUCGUUGUAGGACCAGUAGGUGACUCCAGCAGGAAUAGCAAUCACAUCACCUUCUCUGAUGCGUUGAACCUUCUGGUGUCUGUCUAGCUGCUCGAAACUCUCUUGUCCCUGUUGGCUGUGCCGCCCUUGUUGUCUAUGACGACUUUGCUGUCCAGGGCCUUGUUGCCCUCGUUGACCACGGCCUUGUUGUUCAUACUCUUCCUGUUCUUGUUGCCCGCGGCCUUGCUGUCCAUGGCGCCCUUGCUGGCCUUGCCACUGUUGUUGACCUUGUUCUUCAUCAGAUUGCUCAGAUUCUUCAAAAGUUUCAGGACAGCCAGGGAAAACAGUUGAUAGAAAACCAUUGCCUACAGGGUAUAAAUGAAUGAUUUUAACCACAUACGUACUUGUAUUCAAAAAAUUUAUACUAAAUUUAACCAAUUGCAUUUAUACAAUACCUUGCACUAUGUAAGUGAGUUGUGGAGCAUGGGAGUAAGAAGGCAAGUGAAGGCCAUUUCUUUCUAUGGUAAUUCGUUGAACGGCAACACCAGCACAUUGGAAAUCGUCCUGGUUGUAGUCCCAGGAUUCGAUCCUACCCGCUUCAGUCUCAAUGCGGUUAUCAGGUUCACGGGCUUGGAGCUGAUCUAAUUGGCAUUCAUUUCGCUGGCUCGACUGAAAUUGUUGGUGAGCUGCUAAGCAGCUCUGGAAGAGGACAAGCAAACAGAGAGAAAAGGCGAGAGCUAUAGGCUUAGCCAUAGUGAUGAUCAGAGAGAUAGCUAGCUAGUUGUGGUGAAGCGGCGAGUAGAAGGUGUGGUAUUUAUAGGAUAGAGAAGGUGAAGAGACAAAAAUAAGUACAAUAACAUUAAAGAUCUGAAGCCGUUCUUCUCUUUGCAUGGCAAUAGCAAUUUACAUUCUUCCACCUCAUUCCUUCCAGGGCAGGUGGCUCAUGACUUCAGAGAAGAUACAAAGUGCUAUGAAUAAGGUGGCAACCAGAAGCGGUUUGCAAUUGUCUGCAAGUGAAGCAAAAUUUUACACCCUUGAACCUGGUCCCAAUACAGGGAAAAAUUAAUGAGAGAAGUCAGAUAAGUUCGUUCUAAAUUUGGUAAAAUGAUAUUACAUCAGCCCCAACCUGAUGAACAUCUUCUAUGAUCCAGACAAGGUUCAAAAAUGUAAGAUCUCAUCGGAAAAAAAAUGUAUGUUAGAUAAGUACUGAAUGAUGUGUCAGGAACCUCAAGACAUUUUUCUAUAUGCAAUUUAUCAUUGUUUCACAUUCUUACAGCUCAUUUCUUUGACCAGGUGGCUUAUGGCUUCAGAGAAGACUCAAAGUGGCUUGAACAAUGUGUCAACCAGGUGGGAAUGACAUGAUUUUCAAAUGCAGCAAAGAUUUACUGCCGUGAAUAAUGCAAAAUUAAUUAUACAAACAAGAUCUAUAGCUGUUCAAUGCAUAGUUUGGAAAAGUAAAAUCAUACCAACACCAACCUGAUAAACUCAUCUAUGAUGCAUGCAUGGUGAAAAAUUAUAACAUUUUCAUCUUUCCUACAGUAAUCAGCAUAGUCUAUCCUUUCAUGAAUCAAAAUUAAUACUUCAAGUCUAUGCACAUAAAAUCUUACUAAAAAUAAUGCAGUUUAGUGGUUUAUAUAAGUUUCUUUGCAAACAAAUCUGAACUCCAUCACUAUUCUUGAAACUACUGUGACCCAUCAACGUUAUUACCUCAGCUAUCAACCAUUCUCAUGUCAUAAAGAUUCAGAAUUUGCAAUAUUACUCCUAGAAGUUCUCUGUUCAUCUACAGAAAGGAGUCUCGUAGAAGCUACUGUUGUGAUAGAAGCUAGGAUAGCUAAUGCUGCAAAAUUGAUCUCCGAGAAGCUAUUGUUGUUAAAAUCCCAUCUCAUAAAAUUUUCUCCUGUUUCAAAAAUUAAAAAAUAUAAAAAAUUGUCUCCCUUUGAUUAAAGCACCCUGAACACCAGAAAUGGUGUCACUUAAAACCUCUCUCAAUCUCCAAGCUAACACUUUUGCGAUAAUUUCAUACAAGCUUGAUAAUCAAGCUGUGGACUUCUGUAGAUGAACAGAGAACUUCAAGGAGAACUACCACUUUUGGACUAAUUUUACAACCAAGACUUUACUUCUACUACUUUGUUAUAAAAGAUUGCAAGGCAUCAAUAGACGAUAUAUAGUUGAUAAGACUGGAUGCAAUCCACUCAAAUGCAUUUCAAAAAACUAUAUUCAAUGAGUAAUUUGAGUUGUUUUUUUCUUCCAACUCAAAAACUUGAACAAACCUCGAUUCUAAUACUCUAAACAAAGAAUUUAACCCGGAAUCGAAAGAUCAAUACUGAAAAACAUAAUCUGAUACAUAAACAUGUGUUAUCAUUUGUAAAACAUCAGAUACAACCUAUUUGCACAAAAUGGGUUACACAUCUCUAACAAAGGCUUAGACUUUAGAUAUCAAAAGAAUUCCAAUUUGUCCUCUUCUACACAAUUCUAACAAAUGCUCAAGUCCUUUAAGGCCUUGUAUUUAGAUGCUAAGAAGAGUAAAAAAUGGGCCUAUUGGCAGGAUUUAAAUUGAAAAUCUUGAUUUAAAAAUGGUUGAAUUCCAGAUCAGUCUACAGAGAAUCUAGUAAUUCUAUGCUUCAAAAACUCAUUUGCCCCUCUUUAAAUCCUCACAAUGUGGGGUUGAUUAGCUUCCUUUAACCAAGAGUAACAUGGUUCUAUGAAAAACAAGCAUUAAUGAAUCAAACAGAGAUCACAACACAAUAACAAAUAGAUCAAACUUUGAAAUCAACUAAUAUUAGACUCCCAAAUUCCAAGUUCAAGUAGGCUGUUGUUGAAUCACGCGUUACCUCGCGAAGCGAGUCUCGCUUCCCACGACGUUGCAUUUCUUGCUCGUCGGCGUAUGACGCCGGAGAAAACGAUUCGGCGACCACGUCUUCCAUUUUUCCCUUCAUUUUCUGAUCCUGGUUUGCUCUCUGGUUUUCUACCUAUUGUGUUGGGCUUUAUUACAUACUUUUGGGUCCUUUUUCCUUUUAUUUUUCUUUUUCUUUCAUUUUAAAAGUCGAAUAGUUUCCUAAUAUUUCGAAAAAUUAAAAGUCGAGUACCUCACAGUAUCUAGUUUUUAUUUGAUAAAUCAGUAUCUAGUUUUUUUUUUUUAAGAAAGAGCUUCUAGUUUUCAUAUUCAUUUGAUAAAUAAAAGUAAUUUUAACCUCUCGUGUGCAUUUAAGUUGUCUAUUAUGGUGAGAAAAGUUUCCUAAAAGAAAACUAUGGUGAGAAAAACAAGAGCAUUCGAAAUGAGAAGAACAUGAAGGUGGAUUUGAGAGGAGCCAAAACGCGAAUCAAAGGAAGAAGAAAGAGAUUUCAUUAGAAAAAAGUGUAACGCGAAUCAAAGGAAGAAGAAAGAGAUUUCAUUAGAAAAGAGUGUUUGAGACUACAAGUAGAGUAGCUAUUUAUUAACUUGUGGCAUUAGAUCUCUCUCCUAGUACCACGAGACCCAUAUAAAAGGCUACUUUUAUUGAUUAUCUACCUCUUAGCUUAGCAAGUACCACAUUAACACUACAUGCCGCUAAAUUUUUCAUUUGCUCCCAUCAGUAUCUCUAGAACUGUGAGGACCUUGAUGAGCUCAAAGCAAGAGUCUCCUGCCUGUUAUACUUGAGGUCCUUGCCUGCUCGCGGUCCAUCUGGUAGGCGUUGGCGAGGACCACGUCGGGGAGUGAUCGCAAGACGGAGGUCCUGCCAGCUAGAGUGUUGACCAUGGCAUUGUCAUUGGUCUUGAAGGCAAUGUACUCGUACCCGUUGCUCUGGGCUUUUUGCAACACGGCGUGGUUUUGCGGCACGAUGAAGAGUUGUCCCUGGCGGACCUGGUCGUCCAAGAUGGUCUCACCGUUGUCGUUCACCACCUGAACCCUGGCGCUACCUCUGAUGACAUAGAUGAUCUCAUGAGCAUUCAAGUUCCAGCGGGGGCUGUGGAUAGCAUUCUGCAUGUACCAUUACCAGAUAAAUUUCAGGAUUAAUUGAUCAAUAGGUAACUAAAUUUAAUUAUUAGAAACAUACAUGCUAGAAUACUCACGUUGUAGAAGAAACCUCUCUCAGCGCUGAGACGGAGGUGCCUGAGAAUAGGCAUGCUGAAGCUGUUGAGGGUGCUGAUGCGACCGGCUUGUGGGCUGAAGACGUCAGCCAUGGAAGGCUUGCCGAUGUUCUGCUUGAUCUGCAUGUGGCAGAAUACCUCCUCAAAGCCAUUCUGGCGGCCCUGUUGUCCUUGCAGUUGUCUUUCCUCCCUCUGUGACUCUGGUGGCUCGACAAAGUCGAAACGUCCCUCAACCCUAACAAUUUGUGGCCUGUUGUCAUUCUGUCCCUGGAGCUGCUGGACAGUCUGUUGGUCAAUGUUGAGAGCAUCGGCGAGGAGCUGGGUGUCGAAGCCGGCAAAGACAUUGUUGUUGUUGUUACCCUGCUGUUGGCGCCUGCUCCUUCCUUGUUGUCGGCCUUGCUGUCCCCGUUGGCUUUGGCCUUGUUGUCCUUGUUUCCACCAUUGGCUUUGGCCUUGUUGGUUGAACUCAUCUUGCAUGCGGGUUACCAGCAAGAUAGAAUCGCUACAAAUAGAGAUCAAGCAGCAAGCAUUGAGUGAGUUAACAAUGUAAAAUAAGUUGUUAACUUCAUGUUUAGAGUAAAAUUGUCAGUAAAAAGGUGUACCCUCUUGGGUUUUGGUCAAGCUGGUUGUGGUUGUUGCCGAUGUCUAGAAGAGUAACAAAAACAAGAGAUUGAUCACCAUCGUUGUGAGUCCAGGUUGUGGCUCCGGCGGGGAUUGCGAUAACAUCACCUUCCUUGAUGCGUCGCACCCUCUGGUGUCGGUCUAGCUGUUCAAACUCUUGUUGGCCUUGCUCUCCGAAUUGCCCUUGUCGACGUCCGUGUCGCUGGCGGUGGCCUCCGCCUUGUUGGCCUUGCCAUUGUUGUUGCUGUUGUUCUUCAACAGAUUGCUCAGACUCCUCAAAUGUCUCCGGACAGCCAGGGAAUACCAUCCCUAGAUGACCCCUACCUACAGUAGUGUCCAAAAAUAGCAAGCUAAACACAUGCUUAAACACCACUAGGUGCAAUUUACUGAAUAAUAAAUAACGGACUGUUUUGCACUUUACCUUGUACAACGUAAACAAGCCUUGGUGUGUUAGUGUAGGAAGGCAAGUGAAGGCCAUUACGCUCAAUGGUGAUUCUUUGAACAGCAACACCAGCGCACUAGAAGUCAUCCUGGUUGUGAUCCCAAGACUCGAUGCGACCUGCUUCAGUCUCAAUACGGUUGUCAGGCUCGCGGGCUUGGAUCUGGUUCAGCAUGCACACAUUUUGCUGGCUGAACUGAGAUUGUUGCCGACUGGCUAAGCAGCCUUGGAAGAGAACGAGCAAGCAAAGAGAAAAGGCAAGAGCUAAAGGCUUGGCCACCAUUGUAACAAUCAGUGGUAGAUAGCUAGCUGUGGGUUGUGGUGAAGCGGCGAGUAGAUGGCGUCGGUAUUUAGAGGAGAGAGGAGGAGGCGAGGAGGAGAAAAAUACAAGGGAUGAGAUUCUCUUUGCAUGCUAUUAGUAUCUCAAAUUCAUACACCUCAUCUUUAUACCUGGGCAGGUGGCUAUUGGCUUCAGAGGAUAUAUAUACAAAGUGCCGAGAACAAUGUGGCAAACAGGUGGGGGGUGGUCAUGAUUGUCUGCAAGUAAAGCAAAUUGUACUGCCUUGAACCUGGUCAAGUUCAUGAAAAAGUUCAUUCAAGAUAUCAGGUCUAAUCUGUUUCAUGUUUGGUAAAGUAAAUAGAGUAGCAACCUGGACCAUAUAUAAUCUACACAGGUGAGAUAAAAAAACCUUAAUUUACCAUCAUGCAAUAGCCAGAAUCCAUCUUCAAUCCUCUAUGAUUCUAUUAAGACUUAAAGCACAUUUACCCUCUUCAAGAAUUCACAUUCCAGCACUCUUCUAAAUGACUCUACUUGAUGAAAUUCAAAGUACCUCUCGCUAUAUUCUGGGAAUUACUGUGAUCAUCAGAGCAAUUACCUCACCUAUUAACUCAUAGUAUGCUUGAGCUAAUGUGAGAUCAUUCCUUAUAUAAAUGAGAAUGCAAUGCCUAACAUAAGUUUUAUGUGUAUAAUACAAUCAUAAGAGACUCACUGAUUACAAUUAUAUGAAAUAUAUGAAACAAAAGCACAGAAAAUAGACUUCUGGAAAAAGAACAUAUUUCUACAAGUGAAGGCUUAUUAUUUACACUAGUCUCACUGAUUUCCAUUUGGCUCUUCUGACCAAAUAGACUUCUGUAAAAAGUACAACAUUUGAGCCCAUGAUCACCCUCUACUUGGAAAUACCAUUGAUUCUAAAACAUAGUCCUUACAGUAUUUGUGGGAACUAGAUUAUUGGGUCAGUUUAGCUAAGAUUAAACUGUUAACAAAACCAAGCUUUAGAACCCAAUUUAGCAAAAUGAACAUACAAUAGUGUCACACCCCGGACCGUGGUUUCCAAGCACCAGACGCCGAACCCGAGGCGUGAGCGGGAAAAAUAAAAGAAAAUAAAAUAAUUUCAAAUACUUUUCCAGAAAUUGUUAAAAAAAAAGAAAAUAAAAUGUUUUACAAUAACAAAACAAUUACAAAGACAAUAAGAUGAGCCCUUGCGAUCUAGCUCAUUUUUAAUCUUUCGUAACUCUUUUCUACUCUUGUACACGUCUCCUAAACUUCAUAGUCUCGAAAUACGUUCCUCGUACGUACCUGAACAAAAGUCUAUAGGGAUGAGCUUACGCUCAGUAGGGCCAAACCUUUUUAGGUUAUACUUAACUAGGUUGCACAAACAAGUUAUCAAGCAAUGUCAAACAAUACUUUAAAUAAAUAACGGCAAUUCGAUGCAUGUAUGCUAAUGAAUGUCUUCCUCAAUUACUAGCUAUCAGUCCAUACAUCAAAGAUAAGUGAGCCUACACGUCUCAUACCGUGUAUUUUACCAACCGGGGAUAACUCAAAUGUCUCGAAUAUAUGAUCUAACAAUCAAUAAAAUCUCACCACCUGUACCUCUUUUGUUAGUCAUCUUGUUAUAUUCAUGGUCUCCAAACCUGAAACCCGAAGAUCGUUUUAUCGAUGUCCGCCAUCGAAGGGGCAUAUAUACUUUCCCCACUCAUUUGCGCAUGUGGGCUGGCAUGGAUUCAUGGACAACCCAUGAGAAAACUCAACUACACAAAAUGUAUAUAUUCUCUAAAUCUCAUUCUCCUCUCCAUAAUCAUCAUUCUCACCAUUCUCACAAUUCCUCACAAUGUUUUACACACUACAAGGACAAACACUUUAGCCGACGAAAAAGUUUCGUCGGCCUGUUAGCUUAAUUUGUCGGCUAAGAUUUCGUCGGGAAAAGGUCGUCGGCGAUGACUUUAGCCGACGAAAAAAGAAGACGUCGUCGGCUAUAGUCCCACAAUUUAGCCGACAAAAAACAUGUCGUCGGUUUUUUUCCCAGACUUUAGCCGACGAAACAAUAAGAUAUUCGUCGGCUAAAGUGUGUAAUAAAAAAUUAAAAAAAUAAUUAUAGCCUACCAAAUAUAGUCUGUUUCGUCGGCUAAACCUUAUAAAAAAAUUAAAAAAAUAACUAUAGCCGACGAAAUAUAGUAUGUUUCGUCGGCUAAACCUUAUAAAAAAAUUAAAAAAUAAAUAUAGCCGACGAAUAUAGUAUUUAAAUAUCGUCAGCUAAAGUUGCUGGUUUUUGAAAAAAAAAACUGCAGAAACUUUCGGCCAACUCCAAUCACCACCAAAAUUUGAUAGAAUCUUCCUCUCAACAUUUCAAACAACUUUCUAGAAGAAGUCGAAUCCCAAUUCUAAACCUAAACAGGUCAAUUGAAUCAAAAUAUAAAAAUCCCCAAUUUUAAACCCUAAAAACUUCAAAUCUUUGAUUCUCCUCACACACACCGAAUCGAGCUACCAAAUUCUAGGGGAAUGUAGUACUAAUCAAACUCAACUUAUCCAUAUAUAGAACUCACCAAAUGGUGACCUGAGGAAUGAGAAAUUCGAUCGACACCGAAUCCAAACCGGCGGAGUUUUGGAGCUCGAUUUAUCCCUCACGGCGGCGCCACUCGAUGCACCACCUAUCCAGCAAUGAAGUAGAGACAACGACGAAGCUUUUGGGACAAGUGUGGCGGUCUCCAGUUGCUUGACGGCAGAGCUAGGCCGAGAAGAAAAUCCGGAACUUUUUCUGAUUUUCUGACUUCUUACCAUCCACCUCUGGUAAAACUCCUAUAUAAAGAACUUUACCCGACGAAAUUCUUUAUUUUCGUCAGCUAAACUCUUUUGAAAAUUUUUGUUGACCGCCAAAAAAUUUGGUUGAAAAUUUUAAAAAUUUUUCGACUUUAGCCGACGACUUUUCAUAUAUUUUCGUCGGCUAAAGUCCUUUGAAAAUUUUCCUCCAAAUUUGGUUUACCGCCAACAAAAUUUGACCUUAGCCGACGACUUUUUUAGUAUCUCGUCGGCUAAAGUCUAUAAAUUCACGAAAACGCUCAUAUCGAUCUCCCUCUAUAUUACGUAGUUUGGUCAAACAUUCCACACGAAAAACUUUCACAUAGAUGAGACGCAACCGCCUAUAUAAAAAUUUUGAGACAUUUACCUUCCGACGAUAGGGCUCCCCAUAGGGAAUAAUAACGGUAAAUAGGGUUAACCGCUACUAUCGGCACCGAGACGUUACCCAGUUUACGUGGAUUUUGAACCAUAGCCGUAAUUCAUCAUUCUGAACACAUCUUAUUUCACAAGAUUUUUGAUAAUUUUGCUUCCUAUGUUGUAUAACCUACUAAACAAGUUAUACAACAUUACUAGACACGUGAUUCCGAUGACUAAAAUUCACAAACCAAAAUUCGACCAUCAGAUAUGAUCAUUAUGACGAAAGAUGUCUAUAGUAAAAAAUUUAACUGGAUUCGACAACGUUAAGGGCUCGAUCGAAACGGUCAACUCUAAUCGGAAAUAAGAAAACUGCAUUUUGAAGCCCUAAACGGACUCGGAUGGCCAAAAAGGCCCAUAUGUGAUGGCAUAGCGAUGAGUUUGACUCGUAGGGCCGUUACGCUUCUAGAAAUGUAUCACAAUAGUCAAUCGGACGCCGAAUGCCAAAUCUGCAGCAUAAUUAAUACCGGGUUUCGACUGUUCUACAUCAGAGACGUUACCCGAUUUACGUGAUUUUUGAACCAUAGCCGUAUUUCACCGUUCUGAACACAUCUUAUUUCACGAGAUUUUUGUUAAUUUUGCUUCUAUGUAGAGUUGGUUCACAAAGUUGUGUAUUUGUUUAAAACCUACUAAGCAAGUUAUACAACAUUUUAUUGUUUUUCUUUUAGCCGACGACUUUUAUCGAUAAUAGCCGACGAGUAAAAAUAUUGGCCAACGAAGGAAAACUUUUUGGUCGACGAAAAAAAAAUUUCGUCGACUAAAGUAUCGUAUAGCCGAUGAAAAAAUUUCUUCAGCCGACGAAAAUUUAAAUUAGCCGACGAAAAAAUAAUUCGUCGGCCUGGUUUUUUUAUUUUCGUCGGCUAAAACCUUUCUUUUGGUAGUGACACAUGUCAAAUGAAUAUCAAUACACGUUAUAUUAUUUUAAACAACAUGUUUUUUACGGAAAACGAUAACAUCAAUCAUAUAUAUCAACAAAUACACAUGUUUUUAACAAAACAAUAACAACCAAGAGUUAUCACUCAAUGACAAACAAAACAUCCAUUUCAAUUAUAAUCUAAUUAUCAAUUUAAGAAAGGUUCCCCGAGAAAGACCCUACCUGGAAUCCAAAUGCUACUUCCGACGCUAGCUAAAAUUAGUAACUCUGCUGAAAUCCUUAUCCUGCUACUUCUGCAAUCCAGCUACUCGCAUUCGAUCCUCGUACCGAAUCCUCAUUCCAAGAAUAUUGACAGACCACUUCAAAUCAGCUUGAUCUAAUUCUGAAAUUUACUAAGGACACCCAAGUCCUUACUUCCGAUUCUUCGACAUUCACUACUUAAUUCUCUCAUAGUAUCCAAACUCACAAUUGUGCUCCAAAUACGAAAUCCAUCUCCAAACACCAACCCAACUUCAAAUAGAAGUUAAUAUUUUUAUCUAAAAUUACUCUCUACACCCAAAACUCCCAUUAUAAAUCUCAAUACAGCUUGAUCAUCCUUCCCUCUUCUCCUUUGCACCAUUUCACAAUAUCUUCCUUGUAGACCCAACAAGCAAACCUCCAGACUUGUUCAUGAUGAACAUGUUCAUAUACGAGCACUUCCAUUACAUAAAUUAAAAUCAUUCUUCUACUUCCACAACUCUCAAACAUUAGACCAAACAAUUGUAACAACCACUGUUCUAACACUCGAGCCACAAUCAGCCUUCCAAUCAUCCCCUUCUCUCUCUUUUGAACGUUCAAGAAGCAUCAACACCAAUUCAAGUUCCUGAGCAAAGCCAGCACCGCCAACAACGCCACCACACACGGCAGCCGACGACUGCCCCGAAAUCAUCAACUCCUCCAAUCUCAAAUUCAAUUACAACCAACCAUGAAAUUAUAUUUUAAAGCCUCUAUCAAUAUCAAAGAUAGCUAAUCCAAAACCCAAAACAUUAUCAACGCCGCCGUGCACAGCAGCCGCGCACGGUGGUCGACUGCCCAAAUUCCACCUUCUUCCAAACAUAACCAAAUAUGAAUUCCACUUAUAUAAACAGGUAGAGCUCGACGAGAAGAUCAAGUUUCAUACCUCACUUGUCAUCGACGGUGGCCUGAAAGUUUCGAACCCUCGCCGGAAAACUCCUUGAGCUUUAAUUAAUCGAUUCUCACUCAUGGAGGCUCCUCUUAAUAUACGAACAUCAUGGAAGGGUUUCUGACAUCGAGACGAAGCUUCAGCUAUCGAUGAGAGGCGUCGACGCUGCCGGAAUCGAAAGUUGACCCGCGAACCCAGCCUCUCUUUCUCCCCUUCGAUUCUCUUACCCGACCUCUUCUGAAGAAACUGAGGACAUAGGGAAGACCACGAGAACGAGAGGAAGCUACCAAUACCCGUCACACUCGCCGUCGUGGCCGAAAUCACGAACUCGACCGGAAACCCAGAAAUUCUUCUCCUCCUCGAUUCUCUCUCUCCUCAGCUUUCCAUGGAAAUCCAACAUCACAAUCGUGUUGGGGACGACUAGACGGAGCUUUUGACACCGGUCUUGCACCGGGAAAUAGCUGGACCACAGAGGAAGGAGCUGAGCUCCGUCGCUGCAGAGCAGCUCGAGACCGAGUCGGUCUAGGCUUGUACUGAUCCAGUCCAAACUAAUCCCCUGUAUAUACAUACCUAAAUCGAUGGCCUAGAUCUAGCGGCUUAAGAGAUCCAACAGUCUAGAUCAUGUCAGCAAUAAGUCUAUUUUUAAUUAAAUUUUUAGAUAAUACAAACUUCUAAAAAUCAUUAAAAAUAGCUCUGAUGUCCAAAAAUACUUCCGUAAAAUUCUACAAACUCAUAACGACGUCUAGGUUAAUCCUAUGGGCUCGAAAGACAAAAUCGACAAACUAAAAAUUUGAAUAAUUUUCAACAAGCCACAAAAAAUUAAAAGAAUAAUAGAAAUCGAAAUAAAAAUAGCUCGAAAAAUAAUUUUCCUUUUAAAAAUAGAAAACUGAAAUUCCAGGAUGUUACAAAUAACUUCAGGAUUUCAAUUACAUGCAAAAGACAAGAGUUAGCAAGUAACUAAACCUUGGAAUUUAGAAUUUAAAUUUCAAGCCAGUGGUUAUUGUUGAACCUGUUACGAAGGAAAUGAAGCUCAGUCGACUGUGUGAUCGUCCGGUGUGGUUCACCUGAGUACCGUCGCUUGAUACAUUGAUCGGUUCCAUCUUACUCCGCAUUCCUAAUUGCCCGCUUCUCACUGGUGGCUGUCGUUUUCGUUUCUUUCGAAUAUGAAUUUUGUGUUGGGCUUUCGCAACUGUUAUUUGGGCCUGUAUACAGUAGUAUUAUCUCUCUCUCUCUCNNNNNNNNNNNNNNNNNNNNUAUUAUCUCUCUCUCUCUCUCUCUCUCUCUCUCUCUCUCUCUCUCUCUCUCUUUUCAAUAACCUGUCUUUUCUUUUUUAUUUAGAGAAGAUUCUACAACUUUUUGUUUCAAGACAUCUUUAUUUAUUUAUUUAGAGAAGAUUAUUUAUGAGGCUAUGUCAAAGAGAGAGCUUCUGCGACUGGAGUAGUUGACAUACCAUAGUUGAACGAAGCUACAACCCAUGGAUGGUCGUUAAUUGUUGGUGCUAAUCACGAAUCCCUCAACUGCAGAGUUUCUCCUGACCGAUCUAUCAAAGUUGAUUUUAACCCUAUCCCACAACCACUAUCCGGUUGCUGAAGCUCUAGCUCUGCGCAAUAGCCUCGUGUAUGCUAAUUAAAGAGCGAGGCUUCUCCAAGAUUGAAGUUGAGGGCGAUUCUAAGUUGGUGAUUGACGCCGUGAAUGGAGUGUCGACCCCUCUGUGGAAGUUACUCAAACUAAUUCAUGAUAUCAAAGUCUUGAGUAAUUCCUUUGAGUUUGUAUGCUUUCAGCAUGUGUUUAGGGAAGCAAACUUUGUGGCUAAUGCUUUAGCCAAUCUUAGAUAUAGGCUGAGUAACCUACGCUGCUAGGAGAAGUGUGUUCCCCCGGAAGUGUCUUCUGCUCUUGCCUUUGACAUUGUAAACCUUGGGUGCAUUAGAGACACCUCCAUCUAAUAUAUUUUUUUUUNNNNNNNNNNNNNNNNNNNNNNNNNNNNNNNNNNNNNNNNNNNNNNNNNNNNNNNNNNNNNNNNNNNNNNNNNNNNNNNNNNNNNNNNNNNNNNNNNNNNNNNNNNNNNNNNNNNNNNNNNNNNNNNNNNNNNNNNNNNNNNNNNNNNNNNNNNNNNNNNNNNNNNNNNNNNNNNNNNNNNNNNNNNNNNNNNNNNNNNNNNNNNNNNNNNNNNNNNNNNNNNNNNNNNNNNNNNNNNNNNNNNNNNNNNNNNNNNNNNNNNNNNNNNNNNNNNNNNNNNNNNNNNNNNNNNNNNNNNNNNNNNNNNNNNNNNNNNNNNNNNNNNNNNNNNNNNNNNNNNNNNNNNNNNNNNNNNNNNNNNNNNNNNNNNNNNNNNNNNNNNNNNNNNNNNNNNNNNNNNNNNNNNNNNNNNNNNNNNNNNNNNNNNNNNNNNNNNNNNNNNNNNNNNNNNCACUCUCUCUCUCUCUCUCUCUCUCUCUCUCUCUCUCUCUCUCUCUCUCUCUCUCUCUCUCUCCACCGUUGAGCAGCAACGAUUCUGGCAACACCGGACGGCGAGACCGCCACUGAAGUGAUCCUCUCCUCCUCCUCAACUCAGCCCAGUCCUUUAAUUCGGAAGACAUCCACUUUUGGCGGAGAUCGAUGGAGGAGGACGGUGACUAUCCUUCAUUGUUUUCCGGCGAGGGCUCAGGCUCCGAUCACUGAUCCACCUAGCGACGGUGAGUCCCUUCCUCCUCUCUUCCUUCUGCACAGUCUAGUGCUUUAUUUCCUUCAAAUCGAGACCUAACUCAGAAAUCCCCUUGUGUUUCUGAGUUUCUUGAGCUUCUUUUCCUGCGAUUGUGUUCUUCGUGUUCUGGUGGCGACCACGAGCUCCGACGAGCGUAGUUCAUCCUUGGAGAUGCCGGGACUUAGAGUUGGGAAGCUUUGGGGCAGUUGCUGUUGUGCAGCAUCGUGGCAAAGGGACUGCUUAUUGAUUUCAAGCAAGGAGAGGUUGCUGGGUUUGAGUGGUGUACAGAUUGGAGGUAAGGAGUUUGAUUUGGUCGGCUGUGUUGUUGUUUGUGUUGCGGUUAUUGAGUUGGAUUGUGACUAAAAUCAUUGUUGUGGUUGAUACUUGUCGAUGUCAAUAACUUGGUGAUAGGAGUUUAUGAGGAGGCUAUGGCAAAAUUCCGGUAAGUCGUCGGAAUCUGGCAAGAGAUUUCGACGAGGGCAGAAUCAUGCAGAGACUAUUGAGGUAGUUAUCGAUGUUUUUCCCUGCUAUUGUGUAUCGUUUCAAUAAUAGGAAAGUUUGUAGGUUGUAAUCGGAAAUCUUUCUAAGUGAGGAAAGUUUCUAUUUUAGGAAACUUUCCCUUUUUGGGAAACUUUCUAUUUAUGGAAACCCAUUGUUGGGUGCCCUUAGUGAUUUAUGGGGUGAAGUUGUGUUGAGAGGAAGUAUAUGGGGAUUGUAUGGGUGAAGAAACAAUUGUAAUUGUGUUGUAAUUGAGGAUUUCUCGGAUGAAGAAAUUGGAUAAUCGAGGAAUGGAUUUAGUGAAAAGGUUUGUUCUUAUUUAAGAUCUAAUUGAUUUCAAGUGAAGCAAAUAAUUGAUUUAUUAAAAUGAUUGUUGGAUUUGAAUUGGAUGGUUAAGAGUAAUCAAGGUAACCCGAAUUUUCAAGUCGAAGGUUAGAGUGGAAAAUGUUGAAACUUCGUUACUUGGCCAACCCUAAUUUAAUUGGUCAAUUUUGGUCAACUCAGGAAAUCUAGCCAAACUAGGAAGAAUUUGAAUCCAUGAUUAUUAUGGUGUUUGGUCUGACCGAUUUAUUCUUCUAUUUAUCGUCAGACGUGGGAUUGGCUAGAGAAUGUGAAUAGUUUGAGGCAGCGCUCGAGGAGUAUUCCGAGCAUUGGAAGACUUAGGCCUAAUACGGUGAGUGGACUUUUGUUUUAAAUAAUAUGCAUGCAAAUGGUUUAUUGUUGAGCAAUUUCUUUUGUUGGAGCAUUUGACGUCAUUUUAUUUUGACGAUUUCUUUUAUUUUGGAGAGUUACCGAAAAUGAGAUUUUCGGUGGAUAUGUAUAUGGAUUCUUAUGAGUAUAGUAUAAAUGCUAGCUAGCCUUACGUGUUUGGUCCGUCAUAAUAAGGUAAAAUUCCAUUAUGGCGUGACGUAAGUGUUAGACACAAGCGUCAUAGCCCUAUAUGAAAACUAUUUUCAUAUCUAGUUCAUAUAGAUUUUCAUAUAGGGAGUCCACACGUAUAUACACCCGUCCUCUUCGGUCAUAAUGAGGAAAAAUUUCAUUAUGGCGCGACGUGAGCGUUAGACGCAAGCGUCGUAGCCUUGUAUGAAUUUCUAUUUUUCUAUUUUGUUCAUAGAAUUCGUACAAGGAGUCUGACGAGUGUAAAUACAUACAUAUAUGUAUAGUUUAACCUGAGAUUCUGUAUUUUAUUAAGUUUUGGAGACUAGCUCAUGUAUUUGCCAGUUUAUGAGUUGAAAGCUUUUGAGCUGUCGCAUGCAGCAUAUUUUAUAUGGAAAUUAAAUUGGGGAAGCAUAAAGAAAUAUUGUUAUUAAAUUUAUUUUUGUCCACUCACUCUAACGUGUUUUCAAAUGUUUUCCCAUGCGCCAUUUGUUUUAAAAAUGCUCAGUAUGCAGGUUAGCUUAGUUGAGGUCGGGCGUACAUGAAGAAGAGACAUAGUCAAUAGUAUAGUUUCUGCUCAUUUCUAUAUUUCUAGUUCUUUUCUUCUCCAUUAGAGCUGUUCUGAACUGUGAUUGUUGGUUAUGGGAUUAUUCUUAUUAAGUUAGUAAAUAAAUUGGGAGAUGUUGUGAUUUGGGGAGCACGAAGGCUCCAGGAGUAGAGGGUUAUAGAUGGAUUUUUUCGAAGUGUUUGCAGGUAUUUCUAGGAAGGGUUGUCCAUUUUCAAGAGAGAUUAUGUCGAAUUUUCGGUAAAUUUUCCUUGGAGGUGGUCCCCGCAGGAUUUACUUCGGGUUUCAGGGUGAAAUUCGAGGUGGGUCCUGACACCAAGUGAGGAUUUUUAAAAAUGUUUAGGUGAUGUGAUAAUGAAAUUGGAAAAUAUCAAAUAACAAUUAAAACAUUCAUCUAACCAUUCAUUCAAAAGUCUACAUAUAAUUCUCGUUAUAAGUAGGAUGGCAAUGGGUAGGGUAGGAUACGGGGAUCAAAAUACCGUAUCCAUACCCUUUUACAUUUCUCAUCCCCGUACCCGUAAUUAGAUAAUGGGGAUUUCCCGUACCCGUACCCUUUGGGGAUUACGUUUCCAUACCCGUACCCGUACCCGUUAACAAUUAUGUAUUAAAUUAAAUUUUUUUUUAAAUACGAAAUACAUUAUAUAAAAGUAUGAAAUUAAAAUCAAAUACCAAAAUAAAUAAGUUUCAUGCUUCAAUCCAAUAAAAAUAAAUACAAGUUUUGGUUAAAACAGAACAAUACCGAUAAAUUUCAUUAAGAAAAUAAAAAUAUAUAAUAAAAAGGAAGGUCCGUUUAUUAAGAGAAUCACAAAUUUUUUUACAUAAAUAUUUAUUUAUAAAUUAUAUAUAAAUAUAUAUAAUAAAUUAUAUAAUUAUAUAUAAUAAUAUUUUCAUCCUUAAUAGGUGGGGAUAGGGACGAAUAUCAAAAUAUCAUACCCGCCCCGUACCCGAUUUAAGAAUCCGAAUACUGGGGAUCCCCAUCUCCAUUACCCAUUUAUAACCGUAUAUCUUCCUCGUUAGAGUCGAAUACCCGUGGGUACCCUACCCGCUAGGGAUUAUUGCCAUCCUUAGUUAUAAGGUUCUCAUUAGAAGUUUUCCCACUAAUGAAAUCGAAAAUUAGAAAGUCGCAACCUAGCUAUCUAUCAUGACGAAAACUAACAAAACCCGAUGAAGUAUCACACCAAGGAACUCUAGAUCUAACGUAUAUCUGUCUUUUGUGAUCCAAAAAACACGCGUACGACAUAUUACAUUGACUUACAACAUUUGGUGUACGGUAAUACCGUAUACCGUAUACCAUUUCCUAAACAUUUUCUCAAAAGUUAUACCAAGCACAACACCCAUAUAGGCAUAUUUAAGAAGUCCAAAAAGAAAUAAAGUUCAUUUUUCUCGGUCUUCACUAUCCGAUUUAAGUUUGUUUAACCCUAUACAGUCCAUUAUUUCAAGGAUCAAAACAAUUGAUAAUCGGAUUCGAUGCUAAUGAUCGACUUGGCUUUAAGGUGAUGGAAACCACUUCCAAUGGCCAGAAAAGACUUGAUUGGAGACUCCAAAAUAUAUAACUAGCUAGAUUCCGUAUUUCAUACCAAAUAGGAUCUCAAAUUAUAUAAAGUGAGAAAGCAAACUCAAACUAUCAAAAUGUUGUCGAAAUAUAUGGAUGGAGUUCUUGCAAAUUCUAUAUAUUUGAACCAAAGGAGAGUACGUACGUAGUACCUAUAGCUAUCUAAGGUUAGUCAGUUACUCAAUUUUAUUAGACUUCAUCAAUCGCUUUUCGUCUUUCACUCUAUAUAUGCCAUUUUGAAGUAGGUAUAACCAAGGAAAGGAAGUAGAAGAAGAAGGAAAUUUCAUUAUAAGCCAUACGAUUACAAGUGCAUAUAUAGUACGUAGUAGCUAGUUAUUGUCUUAGUGCGUUAGACCUCUCGUACUACAAGAGAGCCAUACAGGACUACCUUUAUUCAUUCUCUACCCCUUAAGCUAGCUUAGUGCCAAAACACUACGUGCCGCAUCAUAUUUUUACAUUUCGAUCAUCACAAUGAUUUAAGCAAUAGCCCAUCAGCUCUUCUGGGGCAUGGCAGCCGACCUUGAGGAGCUCAAGGCAACGAUCUCCUGCCUGUUGUACUUGAGGUUCCUAGCCUGCUGACGGUCCAUCUGGUAAGCGUUGGCGAGGACCACGUCGGGGAGUGAUCGCAGGACGGAGGUCCUACCAGCCAUGGUGUUGAUCAUGGCAUUGUCUUGGGUCUUAAAGGCAAUGUACUCGUAUCCAUUGCUCAUGGCCUUUUGCAACACGGCGUGGUUUUGCGGCACGAUGAAGAGCUGUCCCUGGCGGACCUGGUCGUCCAAGAUGCAGUCGCCAUUGUCGUUCACCACCUGAACCCUAGCGCUGCCCCUGAUGACGUAGUAUACUUCAUGGGCGUUCAAGUUCCAGUGUGGGCUGUAGAUAGCGUUCUGCAUUUACAACGUAUCAAUCACUUUUAAUUACUUAAGCUCAAACAAUUAAUUGGUAACUAAUUAAAAUGAACUAAUAAAUGCAUGGAAAAGAAUACUGACGUUGUAGAAGAAGCCUCUCUCAGCGCUGAGACGGAGGCGCCUGAGAAUAGGCAUGGUGAAGGCGUUGAGGGUGCUGAUGCGACCGGCUUGCGGGCUGAAGACGUCGGCCAUUGUAGGCCUUCCGAUGUUUUGUCUCAUCUUCAUGUGGCAGAAGAGCUCCUCCAUGCCGUUCUCUUCAUAUUGUCCUUGUUGUCCCUGCAUUUGUGUUCCUUGGAUUUGCCUUUCCUCCCUCAUUGACUCUGGGGGCUGGAUGAAGUCGAGGCGUCCCUGUACCCUAACAAUCUGUGGCCUGUUGUCGUUCAUUCCCUGGAGCUGCUGGGCGGUCUGUUGGUCGAUGUUAAGAGCGUCGGCGAGGAGCUGUGUGUCGAAGCCGGAGAAGACGUUGUUGUAGUUCCCCUGCAUUUGGUGCCUGCUCUUUCCUUGUUGUCUCCGGAUCCGUGGGCUUUGGCCUUGUUGGGUGAACUCAUCUUGUGGGUUACCAGCAAGGUAGAAUCUCUAUAUAUAAAGAGAGAUUAAGCAGCAACAAGUCAGUGAACAUUACCCUAAACUAUUUUUGGUACAUGCAAGAAUAUAUACUGAAUGAAAUGUGGUAAGAAAUUGUACCCUUGGGAUUCGGUCCAGCUGGUUGUGCUGGUUGCUCAUGUCAAGAAGACUGACGAAAACAAGAGGUUCGUUAGCGUCGUUGUAACUCCAGCAGGUGACACCAGCAGGAAUGGCGAUAACAUCACCUUCCCUGACGCGUCGGACCUUCUGGUGACGGUCGAGCUGAUCAUAGCUCUCUUGCUGGCCUUGCUGGCCCAUUUGUCCCUCUCGGCGUAUAAUCUGUUGCCGGCGGCCUUGUUGGCCUUGAGAUUGUCGUUGCUCUUCAACAGAUUGUUCGGUUUCUUCGAAAGUCUCGGGACAGCCGGGGAGAACCAUUCCUAGAUGACCCAUACCUGCAAUACUCAUAGCAAUAAGUUAACAGUCCAUCGACAAACGCUAGCUAGCUACAUGCAAUUUCGGUAUAACUAAUGAAGUGAUAUGAUAUUACCUCGGACGACGUAAACGAGUCGUGGAGUGUUAACGUAAGAAGGCAGGUGGAGGCCGUUGUUCUCAAUGGUGAUCUUCUGAACGGCGACGCCAGCGCACUGGAAGUCAUCCUGGUUGUAGUCCCAGGACUCGAUCCGACCUGCUUCAGUCUCAAUGCGGUUGUCGGGCUCGCGGGCUUGGAUCCGGUUCAGCAUGCACUCAUUUUGCUGGCUGAACUGAGUUUGUCGCCGACUGGCUAAGCAGCCGUGGAAGAGAACAAGUAAGCAAAGAGAGAAAGCGAGAGCUAAGUGCUUGGCCAUUGUGAUGAUCAAUGGCAGAUAGCUAGUUGUGGGUUGUGAUGAUGAAGUGGAGAGUAGAGCGUUGGUAUUUAUAGGAGAUGAGAGGAGGUGAGGGUGAGAAUAGUGCAAAUGAUGUGUAAGGAAUCUCAUGCCAUUCUUCUCUUUGCAUGGCUAUUAGUAUUUCACAUUCUUACACCUCAUUUCUCUUCCAGGGCAGGUGGCUCUUGGCUUCAGAGAAGGUUUAAAGUUAUAAGAACAAGGUGGCAACCAGGUGGGGUGGCCAUGAUUGUUUGCAAGUGAAGCAAAUUUCACCUCCCCGAACCUCGUGCAAUGCAUGAACUCGAAUAAUUAACUCAUGAAUCAGAUCUGAAACUGUUUCAUGUUCGUGAAGAAAUAUUACAUCAGUACCAUCCCGAACUAUCUAUAAUUUACGGAGGUGAAACAUAAGAUGAUAAGAACUUUAUCAUCUUCCAAAUAGUAAUAUCCAUAUUCCUUUACUCCCUUUGUAUGUAAUUCAAAUGUAGUAUUUAAGACUUUUUGAACAUUUUUCAAGAAUGAUCUCUGGACUCGGCGCGCUCUUAUGUAUAAGAGUUCCUUUACCUGCUAAUAAAUCUAAAUAACUUAUAUAUAUAUAUAAACGGAUUUUCUCAGCUGCGGACGUCCGCACCAAUUUUUUGGUGCGGAUUUCUAUUUUUUCAUCACUUUUCGAUCGAAUUUCCUCAUCUCCACCGUCUAGUAUCUAGAUAAUAUUGUGUAGAUCAUCUCUGCAANNNNNNNNNNNNNNNNNNNNNNNNNNNNNNNNNNNNNNNNNNNNNNNNNNNNNNNNNNNNNNNNNNNNNNNNNNNNNNNNNNNNNNNNNNNNNNNNNNNNNNNNNNNNNNNNNNNNNNNNNNNNNNNNNNNNNNNNNNNNNNNNNNNNNNNNNNNNNNNNNNNNNNNNNNNNNNNNNNNNNNNNNNNNNNNNNNNNNNNNNNNNNNNNNNNNNNNNNNNNNNNNNNNNNNNNNNNNNNNNNNNNNNNNNNNNNNNNNNNNNNNNNNNNNNNNNNNNNNNNNNNNNNNNNNNNNNNNNNNNNNNNNNNNNNNNNNNNNNNNNNNNNNNNNNNNNNNNNNNNNNNNNNNNNNNNNNNNNNNNNNNNNNNNNNNNNNNNNNNNNNNNNNNNNNNNNNNNNNNNNNNNNNNNNNNNNNNNNNNNNNNNNNNNNNNNNNNNNNNNNNNNNNNNNNNNNNNNNNNNNNNNNNNNNNNNNNNNNNNNNNNNNNNNNNNNNNNNNNNNNNNNNNNNNNNNNNNNNNNNNNNNNNNNNNNNNNNNNNNNNNNNNNNNNNNNNNNNNNNNNNNNNNNNNNNNNNNNNNNNNNNNNNNNNNNNNNNNNNNNNNNNNNNNNNNNNNNNNNNNNNNNNNNNNNNNNNNNNNNNNNNNNNNNNNNNNNNNNNNNNNNNNNNNNNNNNNNNNNNNNNNNNNNNNNNNNNNNNNNNNNNNNNNNNNNNNNNNNNNNNNNNNNNNNNNNNNNNNNNNNNNNNNNNNNNNNNUAUAUAUAUAUAUAUAUAUAUAUAUAUAUAUAUAUAUAUAUAUAGGUUUCAACCGCAAGAGGUUAGUUCAGCACUAGUAAAUAUAUAAUUACAUGGCACAUGGAAGUGAUGGAACAAAGAAGUGAUACGCAAAUCAUCAAACUAUCACAUACGGCCUGAAACUUUGUGCUAAUACGUACAUAUGCCCUUCAAAUAUCCCUUAAACUUGUCAUAUUGUCAUAUAUAUUGACAUGCAUUUCAUUUGCAUCAAUGCAGAAUCAAACCCUUCGUAUAAAAUAAAAAUAAAAAUGCAGAAUCAAACCCUGACGUUAAUACAAGGAUAUUAGUUCCUAUGUCACUAACCGAUCGAUUUGGUGCAUCAAGUGCUCACCCAUGUACAAUCCCAAACAUAUGAUUCAUAUGAUAUGAAAUAGGCCAUCACAACCGAGAACUCACCGCCCCUCCUCUAUUUAACCCUGAGCUUAGAUAUCAAUCAUAUGAAACGCAUUCAUUUCCACAAGUGAAUUAAAAACCUCUGAAGGCUUAAUUAGCCGUUUAGGGUUCAUAUAUGGAUCUCUCAGUAAUUUGAAUUUGGCCACUUAUUCGAUCUUGUCAAACGAAGGACGCAAGGCAAUCUUUAGCUACUAGUUGUCCUUAGCGAUGAUCAUUAAGCACGUACGUACAGUUUCUAUAAUAAACUUUCUUAUUUCUUUCUAUUACAAUGGUUUGAAGCUUUUCUGUGCUAAUUGAUUCGUAAAGCUCGAGAGUACGUAGCUAUAUAUAUCCCAAUCAUUAAGGACCCUAUUAAUCAAAGUGAACAAUUAGCUUCAGGAUAACUGAGUAGGAAUAAUGGAGUAGCACCGGGAAAUAAGUCGGAAAAUACGUUCGUCCGGACUAAGUACGUAUGUGUGCGUCCGGACUCUCUUUUAUUUACUUUCUUUUGUCAAUGCAAAUCAUAAUCUUAACCGUUCAAAAGUUGAAUUAACCUAUAUAGAUCAUCUCUACAAAAUUUCAAUGUAAACAAACAUCGUUUUCUUAGUCGAUUACAUUAAACAAAUUGACAGUUCUAGUGAAAGUUAACAGUCUCAUGAUCAGUCGUCCAUUUGUUUGAUACAUUCGGCUUAGAAAACAAUGUUUGUUUACAUUGAAAUUUUGCAGAGGUGAUCUCCAUAUAUAGGUACGUAAAUAAGAAAGAGUUCAGACGCACACGUACAAACUAGUCCGAACGCAAAUAUUUUCCAAAUAAACUAGUCCGAACGCAAGUAUUUUCCAAAUAAGUUAAAUGACAAAAGCCAAAGUUUACAAGUACAUAAGAUUAGACCGAGUGUAAUGAUAAAAUGCGUGCACCAAAUCGGAAAUUGAGACUGAGAAUAAGAUUAAACACUCUGUAGUGUGUACUUACGUAGAGUUUAUCUAUCAAACUUGUUGUCGAAUUUGCUUUGAGGCAAAACCACCUAGCUACUUCAAAUUGGCGUGUAAGAUGAUGCUUAUAGUUGUGGACUUGUGGGUAAUGAGUUGAGAUUAAGUUAGAGUGACUGCGAGAGCGGUAUGUUGGAGUCUUCAAAAUAUAACCCAUUUUACAUUUCUCCUAUUCUAUGAUUAUUCUUUUUUCUUAUCCUAUGUUCUAUAAGUAGAUAACACAAUUGUCAAUUCUUUUAUUUUUCUUCUCUGUUCUAAAAAAACAAAAGAAUGUCUAAAUGUUGAAUCAACCAUAUAACAAAUUAAGCAAUACACUAAAAGAAGCUGCAGCUACCAGCUUGCUUUGGUCAAUUUGUUAUAUACUAAAGAUAUACCAAUUAUUCAUCAACGUCGACUCGGGUCAACGUACCACAUAGAUAUGCAAUAUGAAAGGGAAGAGUAUAUCAUCAAGGCAAACCAAAAAAGUGAAAACUUCAUUAGAAAGCAUAACGUUACAAGUACGUACAUAUACGUAGCAGCUAGUACUAUAACUUAGUACAUUGGAUCUCCCAUACUACAAAAGAGCCAUACAAGGCACUUUUAUUCCCUCGAACUGACGAACUCUACCCCUUAGCUAGCUUGAUGCUAAAACACUACAUGCCGCAUCACAUUUUUACAUACAUAUAUUGAUAUAUUUAAGCACUAGCCCUCUCGGACUGGAAAGAUCUUGAGGAGCUCAAGGCAACAGUCUCCUGCCUGUUGUACUUGAGGUUCCUUGCCUGCUGACGGUCCAUCUGGUAAGCAUUGGCGAGGACCACGUCGGGGAGUGCCCGGAGGACGGAGGUCCUGCCAGCCAAGGUGUUGAUUAUGGCAUUGUCUUGUGUCUUGAAGGCAAUGUACUCGUAUCCAUUGCUCAUGGCCUUUUGCAGCACGGCGUGGUUCUGCGGCACGAUGAAGAGCUGUCCCUGGCGGACCUGGUCGUCCAAGAUGGUCUCACCGUUGUCGUUCACCACCUGAACCCUAGCGCUGCCCCUGAUGACGUAGUACACUUCAUGGGCGUUCAAGUUCCAGUGUGGGCUGUAGAUAGCGUUCUGCAUGUACCACAUAAUAACCAUAAUUAAAACUGCUAAAUUAAACUCCACCAUAACUUGAUUAGACUUAGUUGAUAGACAAAUCAAUAUGCAUGCAUAUAUACUCACGUUGUAGAAGAAGCCUCUCUCAGCGCUGAGACGGAGGUGCCUGAGAACGGGCAUGCUAAGGCCAUUGAGGACGCUGAUGCGACCGGCUUGUGGGCUGAAGACGUCAGCCAUUGAAGGCUUGCCGAUGUUCUGCUUCAUCUUCAUGUGGCAGAAUACCUCCUCAAAACCAUUCUGUCCUUGUCGUCCUUGUUGUUGUCUUUCCUCCCUCAUUGACUCUGGGGGCUGGACGAAGUCGAGGCGUCCCUGAACCCUAACGAUCUGUGGCCUGUUGUCGUUCUGUCCCUGGAGCUGUUGGGCGGUCUGUUGGUCGAUGUUGAGAGCAUCGGCAAGGAGUCUGGUGUCGAAGCCGGCAAAGACGUUGUUGUUGUUGUUUCCCUGUUGUUGGUGUCUGAUCUUUCCCUGUUGUCUCGCGAUCGAAUGUCGGCUUUGGCCUUGUUGGGUGAACUCAUCUUGUGGGUUACCAGCAAGAUAGAAUCGCUGCUCAUACAGAUCAAGCAGCCAUUGAGUUAAACGAUUUUGUAACAUUGUAUCCAUAUAUAUAAUCAGGUGUCAGUAAGAAAAUCCAUAUAUAAUUAUAUAUUAUCAAAACGUUGAUAAGAAAAGGUACCCUUGGGAUUUGGUCAAGUUGGUUGUGAAGGUUGCUGGUGUCUUGAAGACAGACGAAAACAAGAGAUUGGUCACCGUCGUUGUAGGACCAGGUUGUGACUCCGGCGGGGACGGCGAUAACGUCACCUUCCUUGACGGGUCGCACUUUCUGGUGUCGGUCUAGCUGUUCGAAGCUCUCUUGUUGUCCCUGUUGGCCUUGUCGGCGUCCAAUUUGCUGGCGACCUUGUUGCCCUUGCCCUUGCUGUUGCGAGCCCUGUAGUUGUUCCUCGUAAGAUUGCUCGGUUUCUUCGAAAGUCUCGGGACAUCCGGGGAUCACCAUUCCUAGUUGACCCCUACCUGAAAUAGAUCACGUAUAAAAGACAGUAAGUUAACCUUGCUCAAGCACAACAUGCAAUUUAGUCAUAAGUUGAUCAGAAAAAGCGACGUUUAGAUAUUACCUUGGACAACGUAAAGGAGGCGAGGACUGUUGGUGUAAAAAGGCAAGUGAAGGCCGUUGCGCUCGACGGUGAUUCUCUGAACGGCGACUCCGGCGCACUGGAAGUCAUCCUGGUUGUAGUCCCAUGACUCGAUCCGACCCGCCUCGGUCUCAAUGCGGUUGUCGGGCUCGCGGGCUUGGAUCUGGUUCAGCAUGCACUCAUUUUGCUGGCUGGACGGAGAUUGUUGGCGAUAGGCUGAGCAGCCAUGAAAGAGAACAAGCAAGCAGAGAGAGAGAGCUAAAGACCUGGCCAUUUUGUAGAGUGGAUACUAGCUAUAGCUACUUGGGUGAGGAAGAGAGUGGAGAGGGGUUGGGAUUUAUAGGGUAGCGAAAGAGGUAAGGGAGGGACACGUACGUUGAGGAAGGGGUUGCAUGUGUAUAAGGCAUCUUCAGCCAUCUUUCUGUUUGCAUGGUGUGAAGGUUUGAAGGGUUUACACCUCAUUUCUGUGGUCUGAGGCAGGUGGCUUUGGUGAAGAAGAAGAUACAAAGUGCAUGGGAUAUAUGUGGCGAGAGGAUGGAGUCUCCAGUAUUGUCCGGAUGCAAACUGAAACUGCUUUUGAAGUUUACUGCCUUAAUUUUGGUAAAUAUGGAGAAAAAUACAUACAGUUUGUGAAAAGUAAAAUAAAUAAAGGAACUCCAUCAACUCAUCUGAACAUUGGGAAUUUGGGAUAAAUAACUAGUUAUCUCGAUCUGAUCUCAGAUAUGCAUGGCCUAAACUUACAUCCUACACUACCAUAGCUGCAAUGUAUAUUAAUACACAUGAAUCUAACCAAGCUCCUUAUAACUAGAAAAUAGAAUUGUUCUUUUUUUUCUUCUUUAAUUUGUAUCUUGGGUAUCAGUACUUUAACUGAUAUAUAACAACUGGAAAACUGUACAACAGCGUCUUGUACGGAAGUGCAAUGUAGGACGUAUUUUAUAUAGGAAAAUUCAAGGUAUUGGACUGUUUGCUAUACAAUGUAUUUUUAAAUAUUUUCGAUCAUCGGUUCUUGAAUUUUAAGAAAUAUGGUAACCGGUUUGGGGUUGUCUACGUAUAGAGAUGUGUAUAUUAUACUCAUUUUACAACUAAUUAAACCAAACUUAUAAUUUAAUGAAAAUAAAUAUACGACGAUGACAACAAACCUACCAGUUGAUUAUGUCAACUCAUUUGAAAUUACUAAUGAAGACACAUAAGCGUAAAAAAUAAUAAUAAUCCUCUUUUUCUUUCAUUACAGUAGUCUUCAUCUAGAAGAAAAAAUUCUUUUCCAACAUAAACACUAACAGAUACGUCGAACUCCAUGGAAGAUAGUGACAUUGUUUUGGAGUAUAUGCACAAUGUAUGAGUUUCUUGUUUUUUUUUUUUUUUUUUUUUGUUUCUUUUUUUGUAUGAAUUCACAAAUGUAUUAUUGUAAUUGUUUCAAUAAGAAGGAAACUUGUUGUCGACUAAGCAGAGUUUGCCCGUCCUAUUACUACAAAGAUUUUGAAGUUGUUUUUUUCUUUGUGUAUACUAAACACUCGUAAAUUUUCUUUAUUCAAAAGAAAAGUGUAUACUGACAAUCUCUUCUCCCUAAUAGAAAUAGCUUUAUGAUAUAGCGGCAAAAGACAAAUCUUGAGUUUUGGAUUUCGUUAUAAGAACUUGAUAAUUUUAUAAGAAAGUAAAUUAAUGGGUUGUUAUAUAUAGAGCUUGAGUAUAUAUACAUGGACUCUUUUUGAUAAUUUUAAGAGAAUGUUCUAGGAUAUUCUGUAUCUUUCUAGAUAUUCUUUAUGUGUGCAUUGGCCUUAUGCCAAUAGGAUAUGUAGUUAGACUAAUUCUAUGUAUUCAUAUCCUUACCAUAUUGGUAUUGUGUAAUUCCCUAUAUAAAGGGCUCAUAUCAAUGAAUAAGAUGAUGAUUCUCUUGCUAUCUCUUUCUCUACACUUUAUAUUUCAUCACGUUAUCAUGCACUUUGUUAUAACCCUAGAGCCAAUAGCCCACCAUUUGUUUUCCAAACCCUAAAAUCUGACAGCCUUGUUUUUCCUGAUUUCCGACCAAAAUUCCGACUGCCCUCUGCCGGAGUUUUAUAUCCCCAGAAAGCUCUCUCCGUCCUGGAUCCAACGCCGCCGGCCUCACCCUGAGAACCGGCCGGAAAGUCUUCGAACCGGCCGCUAGAAGAUUCCAGACCGCCGCCGCUACCGACCACCGGUUCACCACCUUCCCUUGCUCCGAUCAACCUGAAAUUUUGACAGCAGCUUCCCCAUCCAGAGCUGCUCAUUCUGUCAAAUUUUCAGCCCCAAAUUCGAAGUAUAAGUAGGCGAAACGUUAUUUCUCCUCUCGGCAGCCUCUAGAAACCAAAGAUUUCAAGAUUGGUCGUCUUCCAAGGAAACCAGAAAGGUAUGUUUUGAAACCUUAAACUUUUCCAAGUUCAAUAACUCGGGGAGGAUAAAAUCUUUUCCGCCCUUCUCUAUCUCCAUUCUAUGCUUGGGAUUUUGUGUGUGCAGGUACCAAAAAUCCCGGAAUUUUAUUCGCGGGUCAAGAGUGUAUUUGAUCACUCUUGCUUCCUUGUCCAGGUUGUGUAUGAUCAACCCCAACCUUUCUCCGGAUUGUGUUUGAUCAAUCCGAGGCCUUUUCCGAAUUGUGUUUGAUCAAUUCGCGACUUUUUCCGGAUUGUGUAUGAUCAAUCCGAAGGACAAACCAUUAAAAGCAUUGUUUGUGACCUCUAUCGAGUCUCAUAACAGCUUGGUUUUGUAUGCAAGAGCAACGUAACAUUCUGCUCAUUGAGUUUUGACGUACUCGAUACCUAAGACGAAUCUUCGCUUGGUAUCUGUGGAACAUUUCACUGGAAAGGAUUAAACAACAUAUUUUGACCCCCAGGCUAACAAGCCUAGAUGCCGAGAUUUCACAUCUCAUGCGCUCAAAGUCUUUGACGCGCCACAUCGACAAGCCUUCAAUGGCAAUCUGUGUAAAAAGUAAUGACCACAAAGUACUAUGGAAUGCACUCAUGGAGCGUUUCUUGAAACGUCCAUAUAACUCUACUUGUUGAGUUAUUAGUCAAGUGGAUUACUUACCGCCUUAAUUGACUACAUAUUGUCGAUGAUCAUUUGUGGCAUCAUGAUCCAUAACCUUUAGCGGAUUCGAUCAUCAUCAAGUUCUCUAGGUCCUCCAAGUUGGUUUGGAAUUACCAACGAGACUUGAUUUUGAUCAUACAAACGGGAAUUGUAUAUAUACGCUAAUGUGAUAAAUUUAUUUAGGAUUAUCCCCUAAAUGUGGGAACAACAAUAUGGGUCAUGACAACGGCAGAAAACGUCGUGCCGAUGUCUAGAAAAGAGGGGGAGGUGUCACCGGCUCUAAUAGCAACACUCCCGGUCUAGACACCAUUUUGUCAAAACUACUCACGUCAGCUCAUGACAACGCAACCAUUGUGGAUCUUCGGAUCACUGGUUCAAGAUUGUCAAGCUCCUUCAAAUUGUGAAUGCAUACAAAAAGGUAUAGAAAAUCAAUAUGAGGACAAGAACAUCAUCCUCAUGAUCGCGAAUUUCAAAGAUUCGGAUCCUGCUCUAGCUACCCAUGACUUUGACGUCAUCGACUAGACAUUGAUUUUCGUUCCAAGCUAUAUGUACUAAGGCGUUGAGACCUUGAUGUACUCACAUUAGCAAUAACGAAUGCCUUGAGAAUUUUUUCGAAGUUAUAAAACUAUUCUCCUCUUAUGGUUCGUAUUGAUUUACAAACAAGAUUUACAUUUUUACAUCGUCCUUAGAAGCAUGGCAUAUUUACAAUCUACAUGGUUAGAUUGUGCAGUUUUGGUCUCUUCCAAGUGGAGAUGACGCACGCCCUUGCAUCCUUAAGUAGGAUCGCUAACGUGUUUCCGGUUAAGUCUUCUACCCUAUAGCAGAUUUUUCAUCAUCAAUUGUUCAACUAGGCUCAUCCAAGCUCAGUGUGAUGUCUUAGAAUUGCCCGAAAUUAAGGAGAUAGUGGUUUCAAGUGUGCCUCGCACUACCGACCCUCCACGGACAUGCCUGGUCAUACUGACUUGGAGUUACCGAAAGCUUUUGAUUUUGGAUCCCCCUACGCUAUUAAACCAAUUGCCGUCUUGCAAAAGAUGUUGAAGACUUAUCAAAAACCGGAAAAUUAUCAUCAUGAUCUAAUCCUCUAGGUCCUCUGAGUUAGUUUAUGUUCAUGUCAGGGAGAUUUUGCUAACUAGUCAUGGAGUUUACGACCUUAGAAUGACCGAAAGGACUUUGUUUUGAUCAUACACACGUCACUUGUGGCUAAGGCAAAAUCCUACACGCCACUUGCAAGCUUCACAGCUUCGCACAUGCCAAUUCUGCGAAAAACAGCAAUCUGUCCCUUCUGGACAGUCAACUUCGUUUGCGUUUUGUGAACAGCUCCGGACGAACCAGACAAUAAGCUUUAUAUCAUUGGAAAGCUCUAUGAGUCUAGUUUUCAGAACUUUUCGCGGUUCAUCUAUAUCUAUUUUAACAAGGAAGUUAUGGCUGUUUUAGUGCGCAAAAGUCAUUCUGCGCGGAAAUUUUUAUGCACUCUCGGGAUUGCAGCUUUUCGUAGCUUCUUUCAAUCCUUCUAAAUAGUUCAAGUGGAACUAUUAACUAGCCUAUCUACUCCUUCUUGUAGAUAUGUCUCAUCGAGACAUUGAGUGCUUCGCAGAUAGUGGAACUAUCCAUAACAUUCUAAGGAACCGGCAACUAUCUUUGGAUUUUGUGUCUUUGUAAAUCUUCUGUGACUACAAUGAUUGAAUCAUACCGGUCAUUCAAGGACGCGGUUUAGCUUAAAUCUUGAUGCCUCAUGGAACCAUGAUCAAUGUCACAGAUACCCUCUAUGCAUUGAGAGGCAAUCGAACCAUAUUGAGCUCUAAAGACAUUCCUGCUAAUAGUUUUCAUUUGAAAACACAUUGUGAGAAUGAACAAGAAUUCUUUUGUGUAUACCUUCUCAUGAAUGCGGACUGAAGUGCAUCUUGGAGAAAUUCAUGAGUCAAUCUAGUGGACUGUAUGUCACUAUGAUUCGAAUAUGAUUCGAAUAUCGAAUCUCAUGUUGUCACCAAACAUGAUAUUUGGGACACUGACUCAUAUAGGCUUUGGUUUUAACCAAUUAAGGUCAUCCUAGAAGAGAUAUAAUGGUCCAAAUUUUGAGAAAUUCUCAUGGACAUCCAUUCUUCCGCUCAAAACAAAGACAUUCGAGAUCUAGCAUCACCAUGAAGCAUGGUGGUGACCCGGGGGACAUUGACGUCACCCGAACAAGGCUCCAACUUCCCGGAGGCCGUCCGGUCAAUUCCUCAAGCAACUGAGGUGCACCAGCCUUUCCUCGAUGUCGCAUUGGCCCCCUGCAAUGCUUAUUACUCGUUUUGAAAGCCUAUUAUUUAGCUAAAUUAGGAGUGAGACCCUCCUACGCUAAAUAACACAAAAGUGAACAUUCUAUUCUUACAUAAAAUUAUGUAGAUAGAUACAACCAACUUGCGAACAUCUUUUAUGUUUUAUGGUGUUGGUUGAAGUGUUAACACACUGGUCAUGUGUUACACUAUUAUCUACUGCUUAUGUUGCUUAUACUUCUACGGGCUCACUACCCAUUCUUUAAAGAAGUUUAUCGGGAUGUAAGUUGAAGUGUCCUGUACCCCAUGUUCACACGCAAUACGGUCUCACCGAGGCUACGACUAAGCAACUUUAGCUUGUCGCUCGAACAUUAUUGAUGCGCACCAAUCUUUCUAUUGCGUCUUGGGGCUAUACAAUAUUUGCAUGCAGCUUUACUAUUCAUCUACAACUCACCAUCAUUGAAUAUUUUUGUACUACAGCUCGUGACUGUGUACCAGGAUUGCAAUCCUUGAGCUCAAACAAGAUUGAAACGGAUCUCCAAUCCUUGAGCUCAGCUAGAUAUUUAUUCUAGGUGUCAAAUCGCACUGCCACUGAAGGACAAUGAUGGGUCAUUUGAGAUGAAUAAGUAUUUAGGUUGGAUAUGAAUCUCCACCUAUAAUCCGCAUAUGUAGAAACCUUGUCAGACGAUCUCUUUCACCGCUAUAUUGCGGAUUGUCACUUUGAUGAGACAAUAUUCUCGCCGUUAGGGGGAGAUAAGAGCACAAGUGUUCAAGUGGAACGACGUGAAUUGUCGUGGUUUGUCCCCACUAAGUCUCAUCUUGAUCCCAAAUGCUUAAAGUGUUAAAGUGACGAGAUCACAUGCAGCAAAUAUGUCUGUAAGGAUUGAUGUCCUUUUCAAAGGACAUGGCGCGACCAAAAGGUGUUGGUCUUGACGCCAUCACCAUGGAUGGUGAUAUAGUGACGCCAUAUAGUGGCAAAAUUGGUGUCACAAAGCCGUGUGGCUCCCUAAAAGGAAGGAGACCUUUAGGUUCGAUACUUUCUCGCACUAGAAAGAAAACGAGCUUGGCACAACCUGAUCCAUUGAUCAGUGAUACUCAAAUCCGUCUCAUGAAGUCUGAAUUGUGAUUAUCGUUGGGGGACGCCUCAACGUCAAAUCCAAUCCAUAUAGAGAUCUCUACACGUAUUACACUAGUGUACAUGAGGACGUGGGAUAAUGAGUCUACUAUCGAACCACCCUUCGUUGAUGGAUAUCAACUUAGUUGAUUGGCCUAAUGGAAAGAUGUGAUCCAGCAUAACAAAGAGAUAGGUCCUUGGGCAGGUGAUGCCGACACCGCAAGCUAAACCCUAUCAACUAUGCCUUUGUUAGAUAACGUAGUGAGAACAAGAGCUUAGACUCACCUUAUGACGCAAGGUAUCUCACUAACACGCACUGAGAUCGACUACGAUAAGAUAUGCUUUCGUAAUGGAUGUCAUUGAACUCCACUACUUUGUCAGUUUGGUAGUUUCCGAAUAACUGAACAAGCAGCCUAUGAAUGUGAUCGUAAUAACAUCUCUACGGGAUCAGAGAUAUGCAUGAAGGUCUUGAACAGACUUCAUUCAUCCAAAUCAAGUGGCUCCAGACCACAGGAGCAUGUGUUUGCUAAAUGUAUUGAAACGCACAUGGACUCCACUUGAUUUGGAAGGGAUAUGGUGAAUUAUGCAUUUGCGUGUUCAUUCAAGAUUUACAUGGACUCUUGAUGGAUCAAGAGAUGCCAAUAUGUAUCAACAUCCGAAGAAAAAGAUCUUGGGAAGACACGGUCUCGAUAAGACACUCGAUGACUGUAUUGAUGAUGAUUUUUCAUCAAUCGGCUUAGGUGCUCUAACGAAAGUGAGGCCUACAUAUACUCCCAUGAUUAGUCAAAGUCUUUACUCUAAAGAGAGAUCCGUUGUUUUGUCUAAAGCAUGAUGACAAAUAUGUGUUAAGAGAUGGAGUUCCCAUCUAAGUACAAUUAGACGCAUCAAUGUACUCAACACAAUAUGAAAGACUUGACAUCUCAUUCGCUAUGAAAAGUUGUAAAGCUAAGUAUAGUUAUGCGCCCACGUAACGCCAAUGUAAUGGCAGUAACUCUUUUUUCAAUACUUAAUGGUAUGAAAGGUUGAGGCUAAUUCUAUCCCUACAUAAGAAAGACACAUCAAUAGCGAAAUCAAAAUCUGCCAAGUUUCGUAGGUCAACUUCCACGGGACCUACAAGAAAUCUCACUCACUAGAAAAUGGUGAAAUUGGUACCAUUGGAAAGUUCUAUGUGUCUACUUUCCAGGGACACCAACCAUUUGUUCAUACCUAUCAUAUUGAGUGAGUUAUGGCCGUUUUCAUAAAGUAUGACGAAUCUGUCCGAGAAUCUGAUUUUGGCAAAACAGUCAACUUCGACGGGACUUUGUGAAUAGCUCCUGAUGAAUCAGAACAUGUGUAAUAUACAGUUGGAAAGCUAAAUGAGUCUAGUUUCCAAAACCGUUUACGGUUCAUUCAUAUGUAUUUCCUAGAGGAAGUUACGACUGUUCUAGUAACUGAAGGUCAUGCUGCGCGGAAAUCUGAUUUCCUGCACAAACUUAUGUUUUGAGUUCACAAGCGGCCUUCUCCUCAAGAUCUAAGUGUAAAAGAUCAUUUGAGGACAAUACGGCAUGAUUUAGUUAAUCAUUGCCUAAUGCCACAUUUGAAGACAUGUUAAAGAGCAUUGACAUGCUAAGUUGUUGAAAUUUCCGUGAUUAGUAAAAAUCAGGAAUAGCCCUAUGAUUGAUGUAAAGAUCAGGGGGAGGUGCAAACUUCAGGGGGAGUCUAGCACAUACAUACAUGUCACUAUCAAAUGUGAAUGGUGCGUUGUACUCUUUUUCUCCUACGAUCAAGGUUCAGUUUUUCUCCCACAUGGUUUUUGUGACUUGACGAGGUUUUUAACGAGGCAACAGAUCAGCACCAUCGGCAUAUCAGAGCGGCACAAGGGGGAGUGUUCUAGGAUAUUCUGUAUCUUUCUAGAUAUUUUUUAUGUGUGCCUUGGCCUUAUGCCAAUAGGAUAUGUAGUUAGACUAGAUCUAUGUAUUCAUAUCCUUACCAUAUUGGUAUUGUGUAAUUCCCUAUAUAAAGGGCUCAUAUCAAUGAAUAAGAUGAUGAUUCUCUUGCUAUCUCUUUCUCUACACUUUAUACUUCAUCAGAGAAUAAUGUUUUUCUUGAUUUUAUUGGACUAUGGGCGUUCUGGGAAAAUUGAGGAGGUGUAUAUAACAUUUUAGUUAUUUGUAAAAGUAAAUUUGAGGUCCAUUAAACAAGAAGAUCCAACAGCCGUUUUUAGAGAUAUAAAUAGAACCUCCCAUGACGGAAUGAUAUUACAGUGAAGUUGAAAAAAAAAAAAAAAGUCACAAUGUGCUUGACCUAUAUAUAUAUAUAUAUAUAUAUAUAUAUAANNNNNNNNNNNNNNNNNNNNAAAAAAAGUAAAAACUAACAUAUGNUNUACUACUAUAUAUAUAUAUAUAUAUAUAUAUAUAUAAACCAUACUUUCUUGUAUCAUCUUCAAAAAUAAGGUUCAAAUUAACAGCUAAACAAAACAUCGAUUAUCGUACGUUAAUGUUUCCUUUAGUUAUAGACUACUAGCAGAAAUCCGUAAUAUAUAUAGCUCCACAAUAACUAGUAGUGAAGUAUCUACGUGCAUGCAGAGCUAUCUAUUUGUUCUGUACAUGGGAAUGGUGGGUUUGGCUUUAUACCGAUAAAGAACUCUCCUGUCCUUGAAAUUCCAGUUCUCAAAGGUCACGAAUAUCUUCCCUGGUUCACUAAAGUAGAAGGAGUUUCUCACACUCUCUCCUUGCAGUCUCUUCUUGUCUUGGAUUAGAAUGUUGUACGACCCUUCAUCAUCAGGAAGGAACUCUUCCUUGUACAACACGUCCCAUCCCACCACAGUUAGAUCCCACACCAUUGUCAAUCCACCCUAAUCAAAUGAAAACACCCCAAAAAAUGAAAAUUAUUAGUUAACAACAAGAUUCAACUCAUCAUUCGAUUAAACACGCGAUUAAUGACGAGAAUUAGUACCUCAACAACUGGAAUUUCAAUAUAGUUGAUUGUGUUUGCUUUGAUUAUGAGCUCAGAUACUUUGUCCUCUGGUGUGAACUCAUCAUCUUGCUCUCUUUUGAGGCCACCAUAUUGAACUGGGAGUUCUUCUGGUUCUAUGAACCUUUUUUUUCAUAAUCAUUUCCAUGCAAAGUAACUUGUGUAUUAGAGACACGGAUGAGAUACUAAUGUAAUUGGAUAGUUUCAAUUUUUUGAGUAGUAAUCUCACUCACUUGAGAAGGGUCUUUGUAACCUUUUGGGAUCUAGCAAAGAUGAACGUCUUCUUAGUUCUGUGACUUAGAAACCUUGAUCGGAGCACAUGAGACACAUAAUACCAAAGUGGAGCAUUGAUAACAAUCUGCCAGUGGAAAGCAAGAAAUUAACAUAUACCACAUUGUAAUUAGCAAGUGCAGAGUUUUGCUACUUACAUUCUUUUGAAUGAGCUCAGGAUAGUUGUCCUGUAACAAGAGCAGAGUUUUGCUACUAAGCGAACGAAGCUCCUUAAAAUCGGGGCCUGGGGAAUCCUUCAAAUCCGUAAUCUGAACCAUCGAAUCAACCCCUCUCUUGAAGUUGAGCUUCUUGAUUCCCUUUUCAAUGAAUUGAACUCUCCACCUCAAAAACUGUUGGCGUCUUGCUUCAGACCCGAAUGUUUUCUUGUACAAGUCUUUGUCCUUGAAAGGUCCAUACGAAGUGUAACACAAAGGGUGGCCAUCUUUGUCUCUACUAUUUAUGCACACCACGUCUUCAAGACCAGAGACUCCUAAAUCUUCUUCCAGAAUUUCAUCAGUCCUGAAUUCUUUUCGCCAUUUCAGGGUUCUUUUCAGCAUUUCAAAUGCGUCGCUGGUCUUGUAAUCCCGGGCUUUCAAGAAUUUGAGGAGCAAAACAUCAGUGCCUUGAUGGCCUUUGCUUGGCAACAAAGGCACACCCCAUAGGGUAAUCUCCUUGAGUUGUUCUUUCUGCCUCAAGCUUUCAUUUCGGCUAAUCCUUCUGCUGGGUUUUCCGAGAAUGUAAUUCCCCAUAAUUGCAUCUUCAACUCUGCACCGGAAUUCCAUCAAGGCUUUCCUCUUCUUCUUCUUCAUUGACGCAGAAGCAGCUUUGGUUUCCUCAUCAUCCUCUAUAGCUCUACGUUCAACAUCUUCUUCAUCACUAUCCGGACAUAAUUCCCGGGGGCUUUCCAAGAUGUAGUCAUUAGGCUGAUCAUAAUUUCCCAGAGGCGAGUCAAGCUCUUGCUCUCUGCCCUGGUAAUUAGCUUCAUUUUUCAUUUUGGGUCUCCUGAUCAUUCAUCUCCCAUUGUCAAAUAUAGAGGAGAUUGAAAUCCCCGGCAUUCAGAGUUUCCGGGGAAACUGAAUAUUGGUGGUGCUCGGAUUCAAUGAUGGGGAGUUGAGAACGACGAACACAAAAAGUUUACAUCUUUCCUUUCUCUAUUACCUCAAGCUCAAGAAAGGCCUGGCGCCAAAUUUAGGUUGGACAAUCGUAGUAACUAACGGUGAGAUUGGAACAGGCUUUUUUACAAGUGUUUUAAACUUUUAUCCCCAAUUCAUCGGGCUUGGCUGGCAUACAAUUAGUGGUUGUUGUAAAUAGAUUAGGUUCCAAAUGCAAGUCAAAUUUAGUAUUUGAGUUUCAACACUAAACCCUUAAUCCAACUCGUUGCCUAACAAUGUGCAAGAAUCACUGUCCAAGUCAAAAUUUUGCCUUGCUGGGAUAAGGGAUCUAAGAACAUCUCCAAAAAAGAGAUAGAAAAACACAAUUGUACAAAAGCAACACCAUGGAAACGGUGUUAUGUCGUAAAGGUGCAACAAGUUAUUCAAGUUAUUAGAUUUGCAAAGGUCACCAUCUGUCCUCAAAAAAGGUCACAAACUGAUCUCCACUGUCCUGGUAUGGGAGGCAUUGACAAUAGAAUGAGAAGAACGAAAGAAAAGGGGAACAACUUACAAGCUAAUACUAAACAGAUGGUUGCUGGAGAAAGAAAAGAGACAAUGGCUGAGAUUAAUCCUCUACAUUCUGGGAAGUUCGAUGCAUUAUCUUGUCCUCCUUGACUAAUUCACAACCUGUAGCAGUGAUUUUUACAUCCUAAUACAGCGAAACCUAACUGCUGAUUUCCAUGCCUAUGAAAAGAAUGUAACCUGAACGGCCGUUGAAAUCUUGUAAUCAUAUUUACAGUGAAAUGGGAUGUGAAAUGAUUGAUCUGUAUCUAUAUAACAAGUCAUUAUCCAACUGCAGACUGGGAGCUGCUGCAUUACUCCUCUCGAAAUCUAGUCAAGUCAAAUGACAUGGUUUUGGAACAACUGCAAUAACAGCAGCACAAUUAGCGCGUUAAGAAACUAUAAUAUAAAUCCUCAAGAUAUAACCAUGUGACGUGCUCAAAUUCUUGUCUGAUGCUCACCUCAUGUCAGCGUCCCUGAAAACCCCAACCAGAGCUUCAGCCUUGUCAUAGAAGCUAUCUUUUAGAGAUAUUACAAUACUCUGAAAACCAUUGCCUCCUUCCGUAUCCUGGUUAACCCUGGCUCCUUGGCAAGACUUUGAACGGAUGAAUCGAGCAACUUUUGCUACAUUUAAGUUAUCCAGUGCAGCAUCAACUUCAUCCAGUAUGAAGAAAGGCGAAGGCCUAUAGCUGAAGCAUUCAUGAAAACAAAUGUGGAAAAACAAUUAAUUACAGGCUCUUAUCUACAGUGUAAAAGAGUAGAAACCAAAAACUAGAACAAAACUUUCGUAGUGGAACAGCGUACAUAUUGGUGAAAGGAAGACCAAAAGCCAGAAACUCCACAAUCCCCACCCAAAAAUAUUCAUAACUAUUGAAGCAUGUGCUCUAUGUAUCUACUGCAAGGCCUACCCAGAAUCUUUUGUUCUUGGAUGUCUUUAAAGGUAAACACUAUAUAUGAUUAACAUAUACCUGUGUAUGGCAAACAGUAAUGCUAAUGCUGCAACAGUUUUCUCUCCGCCAGAUAAUUGUUCCAUAUCUCGAAAGCGCUUUGUUGGGGGCAUAGUAGUGUACUUGACGCCAUGUAGAUAUGGAUCAUCUUCAUUUUCUAAAUUCAAAUAUGCCGUCCCACCAAGUGGAUGUGUAUUGCUCUUCGUCAGUUGCUUGUAUAUCUUAUCAAUAUUACUAGAAAUAUGGUUGAAGGCAUCCAUAAACUUCUCAUACCUGCAUUGACCAAAUAAACCAUUACAAUCAAAUGUCAGGGAAAAAAUAGAAAUCAGUUGCGUAGUGGGCAUAUUUGUCACUUACGUGAUGAUUUCUUUCACUUUCUGUCGACAGUAAACAUUGACCAUUCCUAUUACUAGUUUCUAUCCAUAAAGUUUGUCUUACGAAACCCAAUAAUGUGCAAUCAUGUAUAGUCAACUACAUUAUGAUAAUUAGACAAUCCAGUAGCAGUGUAAAAGCAAUCAAUACCUGCUUUGCUUAACCGAGUUAAACAGAUCAGCCUUUUGCUUCUGUUCUUUUCUGGCCACUUCAAACUCUGCAGUUAUAUCUCUUUCCUUUUCUUGUAGAGCCUCAUAUUGGUCCAUGGCCUUCAAAUUGGGAGCUGUUCUUUCUAUUUCUGAUAGCUUGGCAUCCAUUUGUUUCUUAAAGUCUAACUCGACUUUCUCCCGCUCAGAAGGCCUCCUAUCUCUCAAUAGAGACUCAUCUAACUCAUCAAAAUCAAAUACUGGGCCCGUUGUGGAGGAGUCAGUCUCCAUUGGAUCUGAGAUGAUAGGAAGGCUUAUUUGCUGAAGUUCACAAUUUUCUACUAUCUCCUGCUUCCGAGAUGUUAGCUGCUCAAUCUGAGUUUCCUGUAAGGCACGAAAAAAAUGUUUAGGGAUUCAAAUUAACAUGGUACAGAAGUGUCGCAAACAAAACCAAAUGCCAACCUUAGAAUUUAUCUGUCGAUUAAGUUUGGAUACAUUUGUUGUAGCAGUAGAACCCCGCUUGUUCCAUUCUUGAAUUUCCUUUUCACACCCUUCCGACUUGGAUUUCCACUCUACAUUAAUAGUGAGAGAUACAACUUUAUGAACUAAAAAGAAAGGAUAAAGUGGGUUUGCGACUCGUUUGAACAACUUGGGAAAAAGACAGAAAAAGAACAACAACCAUGAGAUCAAGUCCCGCGCUCAAGGCCUAAAAUCUGAGAAUUUAAGUUCUCCAAAAAAAAUACAGUACCAUGCCGAACUUUUAUCAUACCUUGUGCAUCUUCCUUCAACUGCUCAAUCUCAGCAGAGGCUUUUUCAGCUGCAGAGUUGGCUUCAAAUUCUUUCUUUUGAACCCAUUCUAAAUCUUUUUGUAGAUUACUAAUAGAUGAUUGGAGUUCUUCAAUUCGUGUAGCCAUGUCCCGAUUUUGCUCAUACUCUAGCCUGAAAGCAAACAAAGACCAGUAUUUUACCAUAAAAUAUGAGCAAGUGCCAAAGCUGUCAUACAACAAGUACACCAGAAACAAUAGUGGUGAAACUGGGCAGAUUGUUUGGGUUUGAUAUUUGAGUACUUCAAUAGAACCUGUGGUCAAUCUAAAAAGUUAAAACAAAAUUUUCAAAGACUUUACAGCCCUACAAAGAACUUGUAACUGGACAGCGUCAAACAUCUCUCAUCUUUAGUGAUCACUGCUUUCUAAAAAAGUCGUGUGAUAAUAGACACGACAGCGUUCUUUAAAGAUGAUCAAGACACAUCAAAAAGAAUAUAUGGUGGGGAGCGAGGAAAACCAACUGACUAAUUGGCCCAAUACUUGUAGUUGGUUGUUUCCUCAGUCAAAGUACUUGUAGUUCAUCAGAAUGUUAAAGCACAAUUUGAAGAUGCAUAAAUGCAUGCACAUUCAUACAAUAGUGUGGGAAUCAAUGAUCAAGUUAUAUAUCACAUAAUUCAUGCAUGUGUCCAACAUAAUAUACACAACUCACAUUCCACUGUAUGCCCAAAAUAAAAUAAUUACCAACAUACAACAGUAAAAUUGACAAAAGAUAAAAUAUAGGGAAGAACAUACUGGUAUUUCAAUUUUGAUAGCUGGCUACUCAAACUAAGCCUCUCUUCAGCCAUAGAUUGGGAAACCUUGAGUUGUUUUUCUUCAUACUCACGAAUGUUAUCUACCCCAACAGAUUUACUAAAGCCUUUGUAGAGUCUGUCAACAAUAUCAUUUAUCCUCUUCUCAAGCUUAUUGAUUUCUGUGCUCCGCUUAUCUACAGCUUGUUUUAGCUGCAAUCAUUUUUAAAACUGCUGUGUGAAACAAAAUGCUAGAAUAAGCUAGAGAAAACAGUAAUCAGGGAAAUACCUUCAGAAGAUCAGGACUGAUACGAUCAAUCUCUUCUUUUAUGUUCUGCCUCUCCCGCGCCAAAUUUGCAAGUUUGUCCUUGAUG